Molecule: long non-coding RNA, 80982 nt
Filed under: Sorghum bicolor (sorghum)
Lineage: Eukaryota; Viridiplantae; Streptophyta; Magnoliopsida; Poales; Poaceae
Description: long non-coding RNA (SBIC_LNC007890)
Source: RNAcentral
UGCUAAAAUCCUUUGCCACCUGCCAAAAGCAGGCCAGUCGGCAAAUAUACACUUUGCCGACCGCUCCUAAAAGCAGUCGGCAAAGAAUUCUUUGCCGACUGUCCAAUUAUCCUGGCAGGUGGCAAAGAAAAGCAGUCGGCAAAGACGUCCUUUGCCGACUGCCUGGCAGGUGGCAAAGAAAAGCUGGUGACAAAGAUGGCGGGACACUGACGACGCCCAUCGCCGUCCCCUUUGCCACCUGCCAGGCUGUUAGGCAGUCGGCAAAGAUAAAAUUUUUUAUUUUUGAAAUUUGAAUUUAGGUUUUGAAGUCAUCAUUUGCUCCAAACUUCCUCAACCUUUUUUUAUAGCCUCCACAUGCAAUAAGAGUGAACCUUAAAAACUUUCAUGAUUUUGUGACCCUUUUUGCUAUAUUUUGUUAAUUAAUUUCUUUUAAUAGUAUUUUCCACCGCAGAAUCCUACUUUAAACUGCAGGUGCAUCAAAUAAUGAAACUUAGCCAUUCGAAAAAUAGUAUUAAUAUUGGAGAGUCUAUUUUAAGGUUGUUUCUAGAAAAUCACCCAAAAUUUUGACGUCCUUAUCCACGGAACAUGACCAUCCAGGUAUGGUACACGUGCUUUUUAAUUAUAUAAAAUUCAAACGAAGUCGGAAAAUUACGAAAUUUGACGAGGUGUUAUGUUCUCAUACGUGAAGUUUAUGAUAAAAGUUUGAGAAAAUUUGGCGCAAGUUGCGAUGUCGAAUGUCCAAAACCCACACAUCUCCACAUGUGAUCACAUGUGAACGCAUGGGAGAUAUGUGGGUUUUACACAUAUGACGUCGCAACUUUCUCUAAUUUUUUUAAAAUUUUUAUCAUAGGCUACACAUGUGAUAACUUGACAACUCAACAAGUUUCGUAAUUUUUCGACUUAGUUUGAAUUUUAUAUAAUUAAAAAGCACUUAUACCACACCUCGAUGGUCAUGUUACAUGGAUAAGGACUUCAAAAUUUUAGGUUAGUUUCUGGACACGACCUCAAAAUAAACUCUCCAACAUGAAUAUCAUUUUUCUAAUGUCUAAAUUUUAUUAUUUCAUAUACUUGCAGUUUAAAGUUGGAUUAUACGACGGAAAAUCCAAUUAAAAGAAAUUAAUUAACGAAAUAUAGCAAAAAAUAUUACAAAAUUACGAAAUUUGUCAAGGUGUCAUGUUAUUAUAUGUGGAGGCUAUGAAAAAAAAUUGAGAAAGUUUGGAGCAAGUUGGAAUAUCGAAUGUCCAAAACCCAUAUCUUCACAUCUAAUCGCUUGUGAACACAUGCGCGAAUGUCUAGGUUUUAUACAUCUGACGUCACAACUUUCUCUAAACUUUUUAAAAUUUUUAUCAUAGGCUACACAUAUGAUAACAUGACAACUCAACAAGUUUCGUAAUUUUUCGACUUAGUUUAAAUUUUAUAUAAUUAAAAAGCACUUAUACCACACCUCGAUGCACUACUGCAGACAGCGCCUUUGCCGAGCGCCUGGGACGCUCGGCAAAGAGCGAUUUGCGCUCGGCAAAGUCUUUGCCGAGCGUGGCGCUCGGCAAAGAGGUUCCGGCAAAGAAACGCUCGGCAAAGGCUUCUUUGCCGAGCGUCUUUUAUCGGGCGCUCGGCAAAACCUUUGCCUAGCGCCAAAAAGGCCUUCGGCAAAGAAAAGCGACGGGCAUGACCGUUAUGCACCGUGACACUUUCUUUGCCGAGCGUCUUCACUCUGCGCUCGGCAAAGAGCAAAUUUUUUUUUGAAAAUUCCUUUGCCUAGCGCCUAAAAGACAACGCUCGGCAAAGAGGAAAUUAAUUUUUUUUAAAAAAAACUUCUUUGCCGAGCGCCUCCAACAACGCGCUCGGCAAAGAGGAUAAAAAUUGUUUUUUUAAAAAAGUCUUUGCCUACUGCCUCCAACCUGGCGCUCGGCAAAGCUGGGUAGGUUGCUGUUGUCCCACGCCAAAGAUUCCAGCUUUGCCUAGCGCGGCGCUCGGCAAAGACUCUUUGCCUAGCGCUGCGCUAGGCAAAGCUGGAAUCCGUUUUUUUUUGCUUUCUUUCACUGCAAACACAGCAAAUCAUAUGUAUAUAUAUCAUAUUGAUAUCACCAUGAACACAAGUAGCACCAUUUAUAUCACAAUUCCAUCAAUUUUAUCACCACCGGCAAAUUAUUUAUCACAAUAGCACAUAUAUCUCAUAAUAACAUCACUUAUUCGGCGAUAAAGUCCAUACAACAACUUGAUUCUAAUGAAGUUCAACACAACAAGUCCAAGUCCAUGACAUGAAGUUCCACACAACAAGUCCAAGUCCAUGACAUGAAGUUCCACACAACAAGUCCAAGUCCAUGACACGAAGAGAAGGAAUACAUGACAACUUCUUCGACGACGUUACUCACGCGGCGGUGGAGGUGCGUACUCGGGCCACCCAUUUGAUGGCGGCGACGGUCUCCCAUGCUCGUUCGCCACUUGGUUCGAACCCGCCGACUGAGGCUACACACAAGAGCAGCGAUUGCAUGAGACAAAGUUAAAUAGCUAAAUAACAUGCAUGUGUGAUAUAUAUUACUCACCGGAGUAGUGUGGAGAGCAACGAAGGGAGGAACGACGGGAGGAGGCUGAGGUGGACCCAUCAAGUUGGGUGGCAAAGUAACACCCAAAGAACUCUGCAGAAACGCCAGCACAUCUGACAUCCUCUGGUCAGUUGCCAGCCGCGCCGCCCGCUCUGAAGCCACAACCGCCUCCAGCUCGUCAGCCCUCUUGUUCGAAGUUUCCACCUGGGCCUAUACAUUGUUGCAAAGGUAAUGUUAGUGAAGCGAGAAGAAAAUCCUUAAUGCAUGAUGAGUAAACAAAAACUAACCUGUAGUGCCUCGACCCGGGCCUGUGCAUAGGCCGGCCGCUCGCGUAUCGGCGGGAGUCCGGAGCCGCUCGUGGUCUGUGCUCGGAUCUGUGAGAGAGAGGGAGUAGUGGUGCUGUCGAUCACGCUGUUCGCCAUCCAGUAGCGCCCAUGUUGCUUUCCCUUUCCAAGACACAUGACGAGGCGUGCAUCGAUGUUGUCAUUCGUUGGAUCAUAAUCCAACCCAUGCAUCGCCCUCGCCGCCUCGUGGUACUCGGUGACUUUCUUGUAGGCGCUCUCACUUGUGUAUGCCUCGGGCGGGUCCUCCGGGUUGAAGGAGACGUCGGACGUCGCCUUGCCCUUGUGUGACAUGGUAUAUGCCGCGAAGUAGGAGCAUUGCUGGCCACCGUGCGCCGCCGACUGCGAGAACGAAAAGAAGUUUGUUAGUAGUCUUUGCCUAGUUAAAUUAAAGCAUGGAAACAGUUACAAACAUGAUGACGUACCCAAGCUCGGGCGAAGCCGCCCACGUUGCGGUUGCCUUGAUGGUGAGGAACACCUGGCAUGGCCAAACGGUGAGCCCGGAAAGUCGCGUGCUGCUGCCGCCACUCCUCGCUCAACCAACGGUCCACGAUUUGCCCCCACGCCUCAGGGGACUUUUCGCACCACCAAGGAAUGACCUACAUGUCAUGAAGUAAUCGACAUGUUAGGCAGUCAAGUUCAUAGCACUUAAUGUUGAAAGGAACUUAAUUUAAAGUUGCUCAGUUACCUGCAUGAACUGCUCUUUGGUCAGAGAGAGGCUCCGCUCUCGAAUUUGUUUCUUGUUGACGCUCUCGCCAAAUUGCUUCCCAUAGUAGUCUCUGAUGGCCUGGAUUCUCGCCUCGUGGUACAUGUCCGUGACGCGCUUCCUGCAAGCUUUCCUAGCCACGGCAUCCGCAUUGCCCUCGUAGCUCUCGUCGAGCUUGAAGUAUGUCUGCAUAUGAAGACACAAUGUAUGCAUUAGUUAUUUCAAGUAGGAUCCAAUGAAUGCGUUGCAUUGAGGCAUGUAGUGCGAGGAAAGCUUGCCCAGAACUCCUGAAGGAUGAGCGCUGCCAUGUUGCCUGCGGUGGCAUGGUGGGCGGACUCGUAGUGGGCCCACGUGUAGGCAGGCUCGUCCUUCCCGGCAUGUGUUACAAUGCCAGGGAAGUAGUGCCUGACCAGGGCACCUAGGACGCCAUUCACAUGGCGUGAAUCCCCUUCCGACACAACCCUCCAGGUCCUGCACAAGUGAUAAAGUAGACAUAUUAGUAUAUAUUUAGAUUUUGAACAAAGGAUACAAAUUAAUAGUGAUAACAUAUAGAGGUGUCUUACGCUUGCCCCUCUGGGACAAUCGAAACGCGUCGCCUCGGUUUGUCAGGGAGAGACGAGGGACCUCGGAAGUAGACACUGCCCGUAGUAGCGGAAGAUGACGUCCUAGCAGAGCCCUCAGCCCCGCCACCGCCGAGGUCCCCGUCGUCAUCCCCCUCGUCCUCCUCGUCCUGCUGCACCACCACCUGCUGCUCCUCAUCCUCGUCGUGCACCACCUGCUGCUCCUCAUCCUCCUCCUGCUGCGGCUGCUCCUCGUCCUCCUCCUGAGGCUCAGGCUGGACCACGUGAGUCAUCCUCCUCGUCGGCCUCCUCGCUGUCCUCCUCGCCAUCUUGCGGCGUCUCGUCCCCACUGCAGUGGGCUCUGGCACGUCGUCUGCACCCCCUCUACUACCAGAGCCCUGGUAGAAGUGGCUCAGGCUCCUCUGACGGCCUCCUGGCAUUUUUGCUCAAUCACCUGCAAUUAAGAAGGAAUAUACGUAAUUAGAAAUAGAUAUAAAAUAAACAAAACUAAAUUACAAAAUCUGAAAGUAUUACAUGUAUGUUACAAAUAUUCUUCAUGAUCGGGAUUAGCUAGACCGUAAGUCUCAUCAUCACUAUCAACCAGGUCAAAAUAAUCAACAACAUCUGGCGGAGGAAUGUUGUCUUCAUCAUUAUUGCCUAGACGCAACCGCUCAAGCAUUUGUAAGUCAUUUGGAUCUCGCACCUCAUCUUCGUCAUCAUCAUCAAUGACCAUUACAUUGUGUACAUCCAUUCCUAUCUCACAGGUUAAGUCUAUCUCGAACCUCCCCUGUAGCCCAUCUUCUUGGUAAAACUCUCCAUCAUACGUGGUUGGGUUGAAGUGGUAGUCUUCAUCAUUUGGGAGAGGUGCUCCGCCGUGUGGCGACACCUUGUGCACAACACACCAACCACUGAGAUCCAGUCUAGCCUUGCAAGCAUACGACGUAUAAUAAACUUGUGUGGCCUGUUGUGCCACAAUAUACACAUCGUCUCUUGGAUAGACAGAAUCAUGUCGAAUUUCAACAAGACCAAGAUUCGGGGUCUUCCUUGUUACUUCUGGAUCAAACCAAUGGCAUUUGAAUAUGACAGGACGAGCUUUGGUGCUACCAGGGAAUGUGAUUUCGUAUAUUUCUUCAACUCUUCCAUAGUAGUCCUUGCCAUCAGUGCCAGGCGUAAAAACCCCACUAUUUGUGGUCUUUCGAUUUGGCCGCACACGCUCGUAGCUUCUUGUGUGAAACCGAAAACCAUUCACAUCGUAAGCGGACAAUGACUUGACUCGGCGGUCACACCCAUUGGCAACACAUCUCAGGUCAGCACCGAUAGAAGGAUCGGUUCGGGCCUUAGUUGAGAACCAACAAAUGAAAUCGGGCCUCCCUUGUCCCGCACCAUUGGCGAGGAGGGUGUCUUGUUCUGACGGGGUAGGCUCCCUUGGGCGAAGCCAGUAUUGACGAAUGAAUUCCCUGUGACGAGUAACAAGGGGGUUAGAUGUAGAAAAGGUGUGGGAUUAUUGAAACUAGUCUGUUGAGAACUUACACAAUGUAUGGCUCCACCUCUUCUAGGUUUGUCAAUACAUACAACAUGAUUUUACGCCACUCCACAUUUGACAAGGGCUUAGUGGUCGACCCACCGGCUCUUCCCAGUUGCCCUCGGAAAAGGCUGACGGUCCACUCAUUUUCAUCAACAUUAUAGCGUGGAAGUGGAUUAUGCACACUUGGAAGGGUGUCGUCGUAAUAUGAUGUUGUGAAGUUUGACGUCUCCUCCAAAGUGAAUGCACUUGCAAUUGAAGCCUCGAUUUUACCCUUGUUUUUGCACUUUUUUCGAAGAGUCUUUAGGCACCUCUCGAUCGGAUAGCACCAACGGGCCUGCACGGGCCCCCCCAUUCGUGCCUCAUACGGGAGGUGUAAUAUCAGAUGUUGCAUGGGAUUGAAGAAGCCUGGUGGAAAGAUUUUCUCCAACUUGCAAAGUAGGACAGGUGCCACUUUUUCCAAGUCUGCAAUCAUGGAUCGAGAUAACUCCUUGGCACAGAGUUGGCGGAAGAAGUAGCUCAACUCUGCCAGCACUGUCCAUAUGGGCUCAGGGACGAAGCCUCGAACCAUCGUCGGGAGAAGACGCUCAAUCCAAAUGUGGUAGUCAUGACUCUUCAUCCCGUUCACUCGGAGAGUACUUAAGUUCACUCCCCUCCUCAGAUUUGCUGCAUACCCAUCGGGGAACAUCAACGUCUUCAUCCAUUCGAGUACUUCCCUCCUUUGUCUAGGGGCCAGGACAAAAUCUGCCUUAGGCCUUUUCCAUGUCCUACCACCACUAGGAGCUUGUAUCUCUUGAUGUGGUCUAUAGCACAACUCUGCAAGGUCCAAUCGAGCCUUAGGGUUGUCCUUUGACUUUUCAGUGUUCAUGAGCAUUGCCCAGAGUGCCUCCGCGACAUUCUUUUCGGUGUGCAUGACAUCAAUGUAAUGUGGCAUGAGGAGGUCAUCAAAAUAAGGGAGUCUUGUCAAGCCAGACUUAUGAGUCCACAUAUGUUCCUCGCUAUAUCCCACGAACCCAUCACCUUGUUCAUUCUCCACGAGAGCAUCAAUCUGAGCAUGGACCUCAGCAGGAGUCAUCAUCUCUGGUGGAGGUUCAGUGACUUCGACACCUUUCGUAAAGCCUAUGGUGUCUCGCCUGAAUACGUUGUCGAGGGGCAAAAAUUGACGAUGUUUGUCGAACGACGAAUACUUGCCACCCUUCUUGAGCCAGAUGAACCUCAGAUGAGCCUUGCAUAAUGGACAUGGGAACUUCCCAUGGACACACCAACCAGAGAAUAUCCCAUACGCUAGGAAGUCAUGCAUGGAGUACUGGUACCAAACAUGCAUUUUGAAGAUAGUCUUUGUUGCUCGAUCAUAUGUCCACACCCCAUCCUCCCAAGCACAGACCAGUUCAUCAAUCAGAGGCUCCAUGAAGACACCCAUCUUCUUCCCCGGGUGUCCAGGAAUAAUCAAUGACAAGAAUACGUUCUGACGUUGAAAGGAGACACCAGGGGGGAGGUUGAGUGGGAUGACGAACACAGGCCAACACGUGUACGGGGCAGCCAUCAUACCAUAUGGAUUGAACCCAUCUGUUGCCAAUGCCACGCGUACAUUACGUGCCUCUGACGCUUUCUCAUGAUGGAUGCGAUCAAAGUGUUGCCAUGCUUCACCAUCGGACGGAUGCACCAUUUUCUCGGGAUUGUAUCGUUUCCCUAAUUUGUGCCAUGUCAUUUGCUUAGCAGGCUCCUCGCUCAUGUAUAGCCGUUGGAUCCUCGGCAAGAAAGGGAGGUACCGUAGGAUUUUCAUCGGGAUGGUAAGCUGCUCCUUCUGGCCGCCACCAGAGUCUACCUCCAGGUACCGAGAGGCUUUACACUUCGGACAGUACUUCUCCUGCUCAAGAUCUUUCCUAAACAAGACACACCCGUUCGGACAACAAUGUAUCUGCUCGUUCGGCAUCUUGAGUCCAUCAAGGAGUUUCUGGCACUCGUACAGGCUCUUUGGCAGCACGUGGCCCUUCGGAAGCAUGCUAGCAAUCAAGGCCAGCAUGCCAUUGAAGUGUUGCCGACUCAUGUUGAUCUCGGCCUUAAACGCCAUCACGCGUCCAACGGCAUCGAGCUGACAAACCGUCGUGCGAUCAUGAAGGGGUUUCUGUGCCGAAGCCAUCAUGUCAUAGAAUGCCUUUGCGGAUGCCUCUGCCUCCUCCGCACGCCCAUCGGGGAUUUGUGCUUGUGCAAAGUCAUCUAACAAGUCUACAACCCCACCACCAUCAUCGACAUGCUCGAGGCGAGGCCGCACAACCUCCUCUCUCAACCGAUGCGCUUCACCAUGGUGUACCCACCGGGUAUAGCCCAACACAAAGCCAUUCAACUGAAGAUGUUUAGCCAUGGUCUCCUGGUUCUGCCAUUUCCUAUUUGCACACUUGCUACAGGGACACUUCGCCAAUCGCGCUCUAUUCACACCACUGCCAAAUGCACGGUCCAAGAAAGCCUCUGUCUUCUGCCCCCAUUCAAUGCUGAAAUCAUGCUUGCUUGUGUAUCCCGCAUACAUCCACUCACGGUCAUCCAUCGUCUAACAUGCAUAUCAAAGAUAAACAUAAACAUCAAGUGCAUCUACUUCGUGUUCCUACCAUCUAAUAGGUAAGGAUAGGUCCUAAUCCCACCUGUGAAUGCGUAGACGAGGUUAGUUUCCAUGGGCUACUCCGAGCCGAGACAGAAUUUCGGCAGCACCUCCCCGCUGUUCUCCAGAUACACGUCCCGUCGGGGAGAGUGUGUAUCCGAAGAACAACACGGAGGUGAGGCCGAAACCCUAUCUCGGAUCAGAGCAUACUAUGGAAACUAACCUCAUCUACGCAUCCACGGGCUGUCCAAAAAAGUGGACAAUCCGAAACAGAUACGGUUAUACAUAUGCCAAGCUCGCAUACUUCCAACCGUAUCCGUUUCGGACGGGAGACGCCUAACUGGGUAACGCGACCUAAGACCAUAUGUGACGCAAACAGGGGUCAUACCGUACGUGCCGGUGAAGAUAGGCUACCGGGCCAGUGCCGAGUUGUGCUCCUCUGGCUAUCCUCCAACGGGAGCCCUCCUGAAAAAAAACAAUUAGUGAGAAAAAAAAUUCGGCAGCACCUCCCUUGUACGGGGAGGUUACCAAACCUGCAAAAAAAAGACGACACGAUGGCCGACAACCACAAAUACAUCACCAACACGAUGGCCGACAAUCACAUACAUCACCGGCGUGGGGCGCCGUCGGACAGCAGCGGCAAAGGAGGGCCGGCGCAGCCGCGGCCGCGACGGGGCGGCGCCGGCACGGCCGCGGCGAGGCCGGAGCGGGCACGGCCGGGACGGGGCGGCGCCGGCGCGGCCGAGGCGGGGUCGGGGCCGGCCGGGCGCGGCCGGGGCGGGGUCGGGGCCGGCCGGGCGCGGCGGGGUCGGGGCCGGCCGGGACGGGGCGGCGCCGGCGCGGACGAGGCGGGGUGGGUGCCGGCCGGGCGCGGCCGAGCCGGGGUCGGGGCCGGCCGGGCGCGGCUGGGACGGGGCGGGGCGGCCACGGGCGCUACCGGGCCGGGGACGGCGCGGGAGGCGCGGCCGGGCGCGGGCGGCGCGGCCGGCGCGGGCGGCGCGGGCGGCACGGCCGGGCGCGGCCGGGCGCGAGCGGCGCGGGAGGCGCGGCCGGGCGCGGGCGGCGCGGUGGGCGCGGGCGGGGCGGGGGGCGCGGGCGGCGCGGGCGCCAAGCUCGCCGUGCGGGUGGGCGCGUGUGGGCAGGCACUCUGUGUUUUUGGUUUUGGUAGCUCGUGUUUGUAUUUGGGCUGCUCCUUUGCCUAGCGUUCCCGAUCUGGCGCUCGGCAGAGGUGUCCUUUGCCAAGCGCCAGAUCGGCAGCGCUAGGCAAAGGCUUUUUCGACUUUUUAAAAAAAAAAAUUCUGUUUGUUUUUUUUUGAAUGAAGUUAGCCAUUACACAAUUUUGCCGAGGGCCCUCUAACAACGCUUGGCAAAGAGGUCAACUUUGCCUAGCGCAACCCUCGGCAAAGCGUCUUUGCCUAGCGCUGACUUUUGGCGCUCGGCAAAGAAUUUUUUUAUUUUUUACUUUUUGCUUCCAAACUUUUUUGUUUUGCACUACACAUUAUUUAAUAGUAUAUGUUAAGGUUUUGGUAGUUUUUAAAAUCUUUUUAUUAUAUAUCUUUAGUUAAUUUGGUUUAAUUGAAUUUCUACGAUAAACGCGGGUUUGAACUGCAGGUGUAUCGAAUCUCCGAAUUCGACGGUUCAAAAAUUGAUAUUCGCUUUACAUAGCGUAUGUUAAGGCCAUAUCCAGGAGCACGCAUGAAAUAUCGAACAUCUCGCGCACGGAACACGGCGACCAAGUUGCGCGUGAAGUGCUAUUAAAUUAUAUAAAAUGCAAAUGAAGUCGAAAAAUUACAUAACUUAGCGACACGUCUUUGGAACACAUGUGGAUGCUAUGGUAAAAAGUUGGUAAAGUUUCGUGCAUGUUAUCACGGAAGUUAGUUAGAAACCUAGACAUCUCUCAUGUUAUCACUAAAGAUAUAUAAUAAAAAGAUUUUAAAAACUACCAAAACCUUAACAUAUACUAUUAAAUAAUGUGUAAUGCAAAACAAAAAAGUUUGGAAGCAAAAAGUAAAAAAUAAAAAAAAUUGUUUGCCGAGCGCCAAAAGUCAGCGCUAGGCAAAGAGAGCCUUUGCCGAGCGCAAAAAUUCAGCGCUAGGCAAAGAGAUGCCUUUGCCGAGCGCCAAACGUCAGCGCUAGGCAAAGAGAUGUCUUUGCCAAGCGCCUAACGGAGGGCGCUCGGCAAAGGGUGACGGCAGGUACCCCAUGUUACAUGUGUUAUCUCUUUGCCGAGUGCAAGCCGUUGCCGAGCGCUUGGCGCUUGGGAAAGAUGUCCUUUGCCAAGAGCGGGCCUUUGCCGAGCGUCUGGUGCUUGGCAAAGACGUUCUUUGCCGAGCGUCUCCGUUUGCCGAGGGCACUACCCUCGGCAAAGAAAUCUUUGCCGAGCGCUGUCUUUGCCGAGGGUCCUGCGCUAGGCAAAGGUGGCCUUUGCCGAGCGCCCGAUUUAUAGCGCUCGGCAAAUAACCAAACGCUAGGCAAAGGCGCUGUCUGCCGUAGUGAUGGUCAUGUUCCAUGGAUAAGGACUUCAAAAUUUUUAGGUGAGUUUCUAGAUACGACCUCAAAAUAAACUCUCCAACAUAAAUAUCAUUUUUCUAAUGUCUAAAUUUUAUUAUUUCAUAUACUUACAGUUUAAAGUUGGAUUAUAUGACGGAAAAUCCAAUUAAAAGAAAUUAAUUAACGAAAUAUAGCAAAAAAUAUUACAAAAUUAUGAAAUUUGUCAAGGUGUCAUGUUAUCAUAUGUGGAGUCUAUGAAAAAAAUUGAGAAAGUUUGAAGCAUGUUGGAAUAUCGAAUGUCCAAAACCCAUAUAUCUCCACAUCUAAUCGCUUGUGAACACAUGCGCGAAUGUCUAGGUUUUAUACAUCUGACAUCACAACUUUCUCUAAACUUUUUAAAAUUUUUAUCAUAGGCUACACAUGUGAUAACAUGACAACUCAACAAGUUUCGUAAUUUUUUGACUUUGUUUGAAUUUUAUAUAAUUAAAAAGCACUUCUACAACACCUAGAUGGUCAUGUUGUGGGGACAAGGACUUCAAAAUUUUGGAUGAGUUUCUGGGCACGGCCUCAAAAUAAACUCUCCUAAAUGAAUAUCAUUUUUCUAAUGCCUAAGUUUCAUUAUUUUAUGCAUCUGCAGUUCAAAGUUGGAUUAUGCGGUGGACAAUUCAAUUAAACGAAAUAAAUUAACGAAAUGUAGCCAAAAAGGUAAAAGAAUCACGAAACUUUUUGAGGUGUUAUUUUAUCACCUCUGGAGCCUAUGAUAAAAAAUUCAAAAUUUUUUAAGCAAGUUGUGUAUGCAAAUAAAUUAGAAAAAAAAUUUUAUCGACUGCCCUAGAUGUAGGCAGUUGGCAAAGGAUAUUUAUAAUUAAAAUAAACCGCGGCUUUGCCGAUUGGCUUGCGCGGUAGCGGUCGGCAAAGGACUUUAACCUAAAACCCAGCCUAUCUUGUGCCAAGCUUAUCUUGUAAAAAAAAAAGCCAACCUGCCCCUCCUGGCCUCCUCACGCACGCAGCACUCCCGCACGCAUCGCCUCCUCCCGUGCACGCAGCGCCGCCGCCGCACUCCCGCCGUCGGCCGCGCCCCGCCGUCGAUCUGCCUCCCCUGCACCCUGCGCCCUACGCCCGCACCCGCGCCUCCUCCCCUGCACCCGCGCCCCCGCCGUCGACCGCCCGGCCGCCCGGCCGCCCCGGCGCCCCGACCGCUCCGAUCCGGCCGCUCCGGCGCCCCUCGAUCGCCUCGGCCGGCGUGAAGUUCGAUCCGACGGACCAGUAGCUGCUGGAGCACCUGGAGGGGAAGGCGAGGCCGGACGCCCGGAAGCUGCACCCGCUCAUCGACGAGUUCAUCCCCACCAUCGAGGGCGAGAACGGCAUCUGCUACACGCAUCCGGAGAGGCUUCCUGGUGAGUAGAGCUAGCUAGACUGCUAGACACGCCAACAUAAACUGCUGCUGCCUGCCCCUACGUACGCACGAAAUCGUUCCUUCUUAUGCGUGUAUAAUUUGGUUAUAUAGUAGUAGCUGAAUGCAUGCUUGCUACAUCGUCAGCUAUCAAAAGCGUUUGCUCUGCAAACAUCCAUCAUAUCUCCGAUCCUGGCCCCCCUCAAUCGCGAAAAAAGAAAAGAAAAAGAAAAAGAAACGUUCUAUAUAUAUCAAUUCAGAUUGUUUUUUCUUUAAGUUAUCUAUUCAGAUUUAGACCAGUCGACGAAGAUAGAUCCGUCAAGGAAGAACCUUGAUAAGCUAGCUUAUAAUAUAGACUAAUUCUUCUUUUAAAAAAAUUCAAACAAUCCUUAUUUUGGUGUUAGAAAAAAGAUUACAUUCUGUACUGUUUUAGUCGUUUUCAAUUGGGUGGUCUUGCUUAAUCAACCAAGGCUAGUCUUAGAAAUUUAGUGUGUUGCAUUGUCUGCACACUCACAUCAUAUAUGUAAAACUACGUACAUGUUUUACAUAUAAGUAUGCUGGAUUAGCCAAAUCAGCUUUGAUAUAUUUGGUCCUUAAUAACACACCCUGAUUUAGUCAGGGACAAAAGAUUAGAUACCAGAGAUCAUUCCGUGACUUGCAUAUUUUCUGGGAAGUUUUUUUUAGAUUAUGUGUCCGUCAUUUGACUAGUAGUAGAAUAAAAUAGGUGAAUUUACUGGGAUUAUGUCAUUGUGUUCUCCCUGCUCGACUGCUUCCAUUUGGAAAACAUGAAUUACAUGAUGCUUGUAUCUCACCAGGAUUAUGAGGGCUUCAAAGACGAUGAGCUGGAGGUACUUGAAAGAAGAAGUGGAUGGGGUUCUCUGUACACGAGUGAUCCUCAAGUUCUUUGCAUGGACUCGAGUGAUCCACAAAAUCCUCCUGGUUAUAUUGGCCGGCAAAGUUGUGAGCCGCUCACCACACAGCAGUUUUUUUCACUGCGCCAGAAUUGGCAACAGCUGCUAGAUGGCAAGAAGACAUACCUCCGCCCGCCAAAGAACAACCGUGUUGCCAAGGACAAUUAUGCCAACUGCCUCCUUGUAACCCCAGAACCUCUUCAGAAGGCAAUACAAUGUCAGGUAUAAAUAUUGUAGCCUCAUAAGCUACUUAACUGAAUUUACUUGUUUGUUCCUUAAUUAAUCAUGAGUUGUUUCUCCUUCACAGUGAAGUUUCUUUUUCAUGCUCAAUGAAAUGGUCUGGCAUCUGAAAUUUCAUACCAUCCUCAACUAUCAUUAAGUAUCCAGAAGUUUUAUCAUUGUUCUCUAUUGAAACAUCUGUGUUCUGUGAUGCCCUGACCAUACCCUGUUCAUUGUGUUUGUAGAUAAGAUUUGCUAAUCAAUGGAAAUAAAUAUGUGAUGAUGAUUUGCACUAAACAUUUCCUGGACUGUUUUCAGAUUCCUUGAGUGCGUCCUAAGUCUUGGCUUAGAUAUUCCAGUCAUGAUUUCUUAAAUAUAUUAAAAAUAAAGCUGAUGCAUCUCUCGGUCAGGCUGGAUGUUUCUGUUCCAUUAUCGAGAAAAUGUUAUCCAUAAAAUAGAUUUGGUCUUCCACACUAAAACAAUUCUUGUUUUUGUAAUUUGGUGUCCUGGAAAAAAAUUGUAAAUAUUGCCAUGAACAGAUACAGUGUGCCCUGCAGUAUUUGUACAAUAAAAAUAUCGUAAAAGUCAACCAGAAAGUUAAGUAUGUCUUAAACAAUGUUGAAUACUUGGUUACCAGAGACUUCAUGGGUUCAUAAUGUUUACUGCAAACACUAGCUAGCUUGCAAGUCUUUUUACGCAAAGACAUAUUGCCGUGAAUCUUAUAGCAUUUUUUGUAAAAAAAAAGUAAACUCGGCGCGUCAGAUGAAAGAGUUUGCCAGCUUCUUUCAGGGCCUGGAGAUCUCUGGUUUCGGAUGUUCUCCGUUGCCAGCUUCUGUUCUCGCUCCACCCCCUGUUCCUAGCCCUUUAGGGACUCCGGUGAGUUUCUAGCAGUCUGUCUAUUGUUUUCGCUUGUACAGCUAUCCCGCAGGUACUAAUGAGAUCGCUUCUCCUCUAUGUCGGCGGGUUUAAACCCGACUCCACAUGGCCUUUCUCCAGGUCAGGUGGGACCAGCACUAUGUCAAAAAAGGAAAUCACAGACGCGCGAUUGCAUAACUGGAAGUUAACACGCGUCUGUAAUAGAUUGUUACAGACGCCUGUUACUGUUGCGGUGUUAAAACGCGUCUGUGAUUCGUCUUGUUACAGAUGCGCGCCAUGUACGAGCGUCUGUAGUUUAGUACAGACGCUUAUUGUCAACACACGUCUGUAACUAUGGAGUCUGAAGUUCCCCUAUGAUUCUAGAUGGGCCGCUUGGCUGUCCGAAAAUUGGCCUGUUAAGCCGAUGUGGGUCGACAAUACUAAUUGGGCUGUUUUAAUUUCUUUUGGGAAGAAAGUCAUCUUUUUUAAGGUUUUGCCGUAAAAGACGUCCGUGCAUGUUUUAACAAUAUGUAGACUAGCAAAUUUUCUCAAUAAAUUAACAUCAUACAAACUCUUAGAGGGAAAAAAUAAAAAAGGCACCCAAAGAUUUGGAUGGCUACUGUUGAAGACGAUACAAUAAAUCAACAAUAAGUAUAAAACCACGUAUAUGAAAAGCUCUCGCUAAACUUAUCCAUAUAUAUUUUAAAUUACUAACAACUUGGCAUAAAAGGCCACAUGCACAAUUUUACUAAAUGUGCUCCACAUCGUAUACAUGCCUUCAUGGGUGAGUGGCACAAAUAAUAACCUUGAUGCAUAUGACAUGAAUAUCAUGCAACGAAAAAAAUGGAAGACUUAAACCAUAAAAAGUGAUACUAACCAAGCACCGUAACAUGUCCUUACAACAUUAAGUUCGAACUAACAAUCACACAUAGUUCAUCACAAUAGACUUACAUAACUGGAAUAUAAAUAGAAAGGAGUCCAAGGUCCAUACAUAAAUAUCUUCGAUAAAAGAGACGAUCACAAAAGUUCUCCCCCUGUGGCGUCAAGCGCCAAAAAAGAAAUAUGUCGGCAAAGAACAUGCCUCACUUGUCAUCAGCAACAUUGUCGUCCUCUUGGGUCCCAUCGGUAUCCUGGUUGCCAAAGUCCGAAGGGCCGCUGGCGGGGAAGAGAGUGUCGAACGCAGGGUUGAAGAAGUAACUUGCUAACCCAUAGGUAGCAUCAGCCCAUCCAGAGGACGAGCUGGCAGCUACACCCUGGUGUGCACCGAACGAGGACUGGGGCUGCACAAAAGACUGCUGAAACUGUGGGUGGAACCAAGCGGGCUGUGGAGGAGCUGGAGGAAGAGAGCGAACCGGAGACAGGGGCACACCAGCCUGCACUGCUAUCGCCUUUCGCUGAACCUCAGCACGGUGGAGCUCCUCCUCGACGAUGCGCUGGUGUUCUCUGUUAGCCUCAUGGAUGGCCAUGCACAUCCCAAACACAGAUCGAAGAGCCCUCAUGACAAGACCCUAGUCGGCCUGAGUAGUAGCUGCUGCAUUGGAGGUAGUGUCUACAGAAGGCAAAGGCUCAGAUUGUCGUGGCUUGCGGCCCCUCCUCGGUGCCGUCUCAUCAAUCCGCACAGGAUGAUACACCUCAUGGCGCAUCUCUUUGACAAACUCCUUCUUACUGACUAUCUCAAUCAUCUUCAUUAUAUAUGGAGCAUGAGAACAAGACCUUUUAGCAUCCCAAGAGGUCAGCUGAAUCUGCUUCAAAAUGAAACCAAAAGCACUGAAGGAGUCUUCGUUAUCCUCCUUGAGAGCAACCAAGAAAGGACCCAUAGUAGAUAGGAUUUCUGAAGCACCACCAAUCUUGGGGACCACAGUUUGCCUCACCAACAAAUUAAUGUAGCGAUAAACCUUUCUCAUUUUCUUGAGGGUAUAAAAUUCUUCCAUGGUGGCACUCGUAUAGUAAGCAAAAGAUAUAUCAAUGUUACGACUAGGUGAGCAAUCAAGCCAUGGCUUCUCAAAGUCAUCAAGGUCAAAUCCAAGAAUUUGAGCAAACCUAGGAUAAGAAACAGAAUACUUCUGACCCUGUGUGCGAAAGUGCACACAACCAUGGUCCGUAUCUGUAGGAUCCUCAUACCAAACGGUUGCAAAGAAUUGAGCAAUGAUCUCAUUGUUCCAUGGAUAUUGCAUAGUCAUGAUGUUCUUGAAGUUGUGCCUCUCCAAAAUAGCAAGAGCCUUGGUCAUUUCGGGAUCAUCAAUGCGAGCACAAUAGUUCCAAUCGAUGCACUUCUGCUCUACCACUGGCUGAACUUUAGAUCGAAUAACAGAAUUGUAGUAGUCCAGCUGAAAAGGAGUUGCAAACCGAGGAUCAAGAAUCUCAACAACAUCAACCUCAUCAGGACAGACAAACCUUUGAGCAAAAACUUGUCCACUAUAGUUCCGGGUGUAGUCCUUAGGUUUAGGUGGGUGAACAUCAUAAGGGCUGCGCCGCAACGCUUCUUUAAUGUACAGGUUGUCGGUCACCUGAACAAACUCAAGAUUCUCAUUGGGCAAAUCCAAAUCAGGAGCAUGCUUGCGGACACGAGCCUUGCCACGACCCGCUAGCACCUUGCGUCUGCCACUCAAUGUCACUGCAGCAAGCCGCUGCCCACGCUUGGGAGGUGGCGAAGCAACAUCCUCAUCACCACGACAAAUCCUCUUGCGAACCAUACUGCAAAGAAAAGGCGUGAACGCAUAAGAGAUAAGGUGCAAGAUAUACGAAAAGGCAGGGGCAGAACAAGCGCUAAUUUGUCAACUAACAACAAUGACUUACAGUAAACAUAAUUGUUUAGAUUAGUACUAUAACUAUAAAUAAAGCAACAAAAAUUAGAGCAUCUUCAAGAACUUUUAUUAAGUUAACUCUCUAAAUCAUCAUUCAGAGAGUUAUUUGGAUAACAAAAAUGCUUCAUAUAUCUUUGUACCCUAUAGCUAAAGAGACUAUUGGAGCCUUUUUAUAAAAAAAUGUCUUUUCCAAUUAUUUAGAAGAAAAAUCAAGAGCCUCAAAAAAUUGCAGUUACAGGAACAAAACAAUUUCAGAGAACUUGUUACCAAUGUUCAAGUGGAAAAUAAAAAGUUCAAUUAUGACAUUACUAGAAAUAAUAAUGGCCUUCAUUAUGGUAAUCCCAAAUAACCAUGUGGCAUCCAUUUAGUUAAGUUGGGUAGAAUUAUCUAUUACUUCAUUGGAGGUAACAAGUGAAAUACGUAUUUAGUUAUUAAGUCAGGAAGAAGUCCUUAACUUUUUCCUAUUAUAUUCGAUGUGAUAAAAGAUUUCGACUAUUAAAACUUUGCAUAUGGGAACGGGGUUGAUUUAAAGUCACUCACUUCUUGCAUUGCUGCAUAUUUCAUGAUCUGACAUGUGGUAUCUUUCACUGCAUGGUAACAGCUGUGCUGGCUGUAUUGAAAAUCACAAGCUAGCUGUGUUGACCUAUACCUUUUGUACAUACUGUAAUAAACCAAAGCCCCCAGAGCACAACACUGCCGAUCUUGUAAAAUGCGUGUGGUGAACAUGGAUCAUAAUUGCCCAGCUAUAAGUAUGAUAACUGAAUUCUGCUGCGUUAGUAUUUUUUGAUGAUUGUUACUUCACUUGUUUAUUCAUUAACUACUUCUGUUCAAGUGCAGAUAGGCAACUGUGUGCGAGCAUCAAAGCAUCAAGUGUUUUUCAAUUUCCUUAUAUCUGCAGUUAUUAGUUGUUCUAAUGCUGCUGGGAUGACCAUAUAUGCGAGUUAUAAGAUGUGGCCCUCUGUUGAUUUUCAAACCUAGCAUCAAACCAUCACUCCGUGAGUUAUUACUUAUAAUAUAUGCUAGUUUAUCAGUCAAUGCUGGUAUAGGAGUAUUACUGUGCCAGCAGCUGAUGCUUAAUGUGGCUGGGAGAACUGCGCUCGUCAAAGCAACACUCUCGGCAAUCCCAGUCCAUCGCGCUAUGCCUGUCGCCGUGGGCAAUCAACGCCAUUUACAAGCUACACAGGGCGUUCAUGUGGGCAGGGGCAGACAAUGUGCAGGGCGGGCGAUGCAAGGUUGCCUGGCCAAGCGUCUGCAGGCCCAAGUAGCUUGGUGGUCUGGGCGUCACUGACCGCAGGCGGGUGGGAAUCGCGCUGCGCGUGCGCUGGGUCUGGCGAGACCGUCUGAACGGUCGACCGCCGACUACCAAACAGGGCGUCGUGCUAGCGCUGUUCCAGGCGGCAACUGUUUUCCACCUGGGGAACGACCAAUCAACUUUCUUCUGGACAGACCGGUGGCUAAACAGGUCUAGUAUACAAACGUUGUGAGCUUUACCGAAUAAGCUCACAAGCCGUUGUGAGCUUUAACAAAUAAGCACUUAGAUUUACAUAUGACACGAUGGUUUGGUUCUAUAAUGUAUAUAUGUAGCAUGUACACCCAAUUUUAAAUAGUAGCCACUAGCGCAAACCCUAGCUGAUGGAUUUUGCAAAGAAAAAGACUUGGGGUUGCAAAGCAACAACAGAUCGGGAAUAAUUGAACACUAAAUUAUGAGGGGGCAAAAGAAAUCGACCAAAAGCGAAAAACGUGCGCAGAUCGGACAAAAAGAACUCACCUUGAAAAGGACCGUCACGUGUUGGAGAAAAAGGACCAGCGGGAUUUGGAAAGCACUUGGAUUGUCGCUGUCGGACGGAGCUGGUCCGGGCGCUGCAGAUGAUGGGGAUGUGUCUGCCGACCUCGCUGGCCCGGGCGAGCUCGCAGUAGGGCACGACGGCGCAGCCUAGAUGGAGGGGCUCCUGUCGCUGCCGCGAGUGGGAAACGCAUGGCUAGGAGGGCGCGUGCGCUACCACGCACGCACGGAAACGCAGGGAGGGGCAGCGAGGGGGCAGGGAGGCAGGCAAUGAUGGCGAGAUGCAGGGGAGGCGGGCGGUGCACUUCUGGGACGGCUACGCGGCUGAGUUCAUUCGCCGCACGGCGUAGAGGGUCGCGCGGCCCGUCGGAAGGGGGGGUGGGAACAGAUAAUGUUCUUUUUUUUUCCUAAAAAACGGCAAAUGCAAGUGGGGGUGGACGCGCGAGGAAAGAUCGAGGUAGGGCGAAUGAAUUACCACCUUGGCCAUGGAAUAUAUCCAGCCGAGGGUCCUCUGUCUUGAACCACGAUUGAGGAAAAAAAUCCAGUUUUGACGGCACUAUUUCCAACCUGCAGUCCUCUAUCUUCAACUAAACUGAUAGCUCCAAUUUGCUGUUGUGGUGGCACUGUGAAGCUUCACCAAAAGAUCGUGAACAAGAUAGAUGAAACUUCAAGACUCUUUGUCGAAUUGGGUAGAGACUGUGAGGGUUGUCUUCAUUGCGGGGGAUGUAGAAGGCUGGUGUGCUCGAUGACAGGGGCGGCCAUGCAUGUGUUUUUAAUUUCGUAAAAAGUCUAUAUUAGUACUCAACGCAUGUGUCUAAAAAUUGAAUGUGACGGGCAGUAAACUGUAACAAGAGCAACUAAAUAGGGAUGCAUGGAAUACAAAAAUAUACUAUUUACAUGUAGUAGAGAAUAAUUUACUAUACAAAUCUUUUGAGCCUAAUUACUCCACGAUUGGACAAUAAUUAUCAAAUAAAACAAAAAUGCUACAGUGUAUUUUCAGUUUUAACACCCCUAACCAAACACCCCUACAUCCAUUAUUUUGUUGUUAACUAUUUUUCUAUUUUAUAUUUUGUGACAUUCUUCAUCCAUUUUACUAAUAUUUAAUUAUUUACAUUUUUAAAAAGAUUAAGUAGGUACAUCAUUACUCUUUUAAUUUAUUCACUAAUUAUAUAUUUUCAUAAUUAAUGUUUCUGCAACACUUUUUAUUCUACCCAUUUCUUGAUUUGUUUUCUAUAAAAGUUCCACAAGCCUAAAUACAUAAACUCUCUUCGCACUAUUUUUUGUAAUGUCUUUCACAGGCAAUUUCACUUAUAUUUGUUUAUUUAUGUUUAAAGACUAUGUAAACACGUAUUUUAAAAAGUAUCUAUUGCUUUUGUAAAAUUAUUAUAGGUACGUGAAGCAACACUUUCUAAUCUCAUUUUGUUUCUUUGAUUUUCUUAUAAGUAAUUACUUUCAAAAACAAAAUGUUAAUCGAUAUUAUUUUCUUUAAGCUAUGUUGGCAUUUCUUUAAGCUAAGCUAUGACGACAUACACAAUUAUUAACGUCAUGGCAACAGGCGGUCGGACCGGUAAAAGACCGAACCAGAGUCUCUACCGGUCCGGUUCACUUAAAAGAUCGUCUGUGCAAUUGAACCGGUAAAAACUGGUUAAACCGGCCGGUUUUUUACAGAACCGUUGAACCGGCCGGUUUUCUUCGAACCGCUUCGGUUUGUAGGGCGUGUGGUGCGGCAGUUCUGUGCUGUGUGGCUUGGUGCUAGGCUGCUAGCUGGUGGACUACUGCCCCUGUCAUUGGUCCGCCCGCCUGCCUGCUCACAAUUGGAAGUGUCCCAUGCACAGUGGCGUGCAGCAGCAGCUGCUGUUACUUUUUUUAUUUGCUAGAGCCUGGAGCUGAGCUGAUGUCAGCAUUUUUCUUUAUAAAUUUCAGAAUUUCAUAACUUUUCUAAAUAAACUCAAAAUUAGACAAAUAAUAUAUCUAUUCCGAUUAUCUCAACGAGCUCUUUGAAGUGGCGCCCUUUGUUUUAUCACUUGAGAUUACUUUGCAAUGCUGAAUAUUUAAAUUACUAUUGAAGUCUUUUUGCAUCAAUUUGUAAGUGCUCCAAGUUUAUGUUUUUCCACACGUAUUUUAUAUAUUGGGUAAACAACUCUAGAGAACCAUUACCUUGGAGUAUGUGUUGUGUACUUGUGGAUAGAUAAUCGAGAAGCGAGUUAUAUACUUGUAUUUUUUAUCAUUGUUCUCAUUUAUAUAUGUGGUUAAGUACAUGUUGUGAGCGGUUCAAUUCAUCCAGUUCAAAACUAUCGAACCAGCGGUUCAACCGGUUCUUAACGGUUGGACCAGUGAACCGAUGGCCUUACCGGUUCGAUGUCCAGUCCGGUCCUAAUAACUAUGUUCUAUACUACUUGAUGCUCAACCAUAUAUAGCUUGCGACUAAGUAGUGAAUACUAGUAUUGCGCGACUUAAUUGCUUGUAGCAAAUAGACGUAUACAUAAACCAACAAAGAGUCUGUGAGUCAUCCACCCUAUCAACAAACCGUCUGCAAUCAACGCAGAUCCAAGUCUAUCCAAACGAAGCCUAAGGGAAAAGUUUAUAGUAAACAUGGCUGAAUGCUGCAGCCUGACCAGUGCAACCACCAGCCAAAAAGUCAGCCACAGCAGCAGCCAUUCGAAUUCAAAAACUGACAGGACUGACACACAUUGAAAUUCAAAUAAUACACCAGUUCAUUUGCAUAUAUGCCAAACACCAUAAACAAAGAUUGUCAGCAGUCCAAUACAACACAAAUCACAAUACUCCAGUUCUUACAUAUAUCCCAUCUGAGCCACAACCUGGCCUGCUAGGAGUUAUUGCAUUAAUGCAUCAUCGCUCAUAUGCAAUUCACAUAUAAAGCACUACUCCUAAUUGGUUGCAGAGGUGGCUCCACAAUUCAAAAGUUGUACCCAUUAUCCGGUACUUAACCAAGAACAACACGAAGGACAAUUGGUCAAAAUGCACCUACUAACUUGUCCUUCUUCCUGCCAUCGGCUGCUACUCAUCCGACUGGAAAUCUGCAUUUUGUCAAGGCCUAAUGAGCACCCAAAACAACUAAAUCAGUUGACUACAUAAUGACCAACGGAAUUGGUUUCACUUACCUGUCUUCCCAAGCAGACCUAGGCCGUAAGUAAUCCAAUCCCUCACUUGUUCCAUAUCAUUUGGGUCACUUAAUGCCAUUGCUGUCACUUUACUUAAAGGGCCAAGGUCUGGUGCUUGCCUACGCCUCCCCGCACGAUGCUUUCCCUCCAGCCCACGCACGUAGUUGUGCAGUGCAAACAAAACCAGAAUUAUCUGUGUUUGUUUAGUUCCUGGAUAGUGCGGUAUGCUUUUGAGCAUCCUCCACUUUGAUUUUGCGACCCCAAAAGACCUUUCAAUAACACUGCGCAACCCCGCAUGGUGCCGGUUGAACAACUCCUCCGCGUCUUGCGGACCAAGAUUCUUGAAGUCCUUGGCCCGAAACCUCUUCUGCGGAUACGGCGGCAUGUAGCCCGGCCCAAGUGCAUACCCAGAAUCCACCAAGUAGUACCGUCCUGCAUACACAAAAAUUCCCAAUCAGUAAGCAAAUGCAGAACACAAAACCAUUACAUUACUACACCCAACGCGACAACUAAGGUAGCCAUACUGUCUGGUGGGAUGGGGAAAGCGGGAUCCUCCUCUGCCUUCUUUUUCAUGCGCAUGUCAUUCGCCGAACCCUCUGUCCCCGCGCCAAUGUAGGUGAACAUCAUGUUGAAGUCACAAACAGCAACAACAUUUUGGGUAGUCACACCAUAUCUAUUUAUGUGGUCCAAACGAACUCCAUCAUCCACUGACACUAAUAUGUGAGUUCCAUCCAUAGCUCCUAUGUAGCCAUCAAAAAAGGGUGUGUACUCUAACAACUCAUGUGGGACUUCACCAUAAUUGUAGUCCCUUGGCCUAAUCGCAUCAUUUGCAAACCCAGUCAUGGCAUUCAGAACUACCUUAAAAAUUUUGGAACAUGAGCUCAAUCCCCUCAUGAACCUUUCAUUCAUUUGCCUCUGACAUUGAUUCGUCCCACAUGCCCAAAGAAAUAGGCCUAAUGCUUCAUGUGAAUCAAUGUUUCUAGUGGAUGAUAGACCAUACCAAGUCGUUAAUAAGCUAUGCAACCGUUCAAAGUUCUCAGGCAGCAUGCGAAAGUUGUUAUAGCACCUACGCUGAUUUUGCAACACGUUGUGCACCCAUUGUCGACCGGUGGUGUCCGGCUGACCCAACUGUCGGCUGACUUGUGGGUGUGCUUGCAUCGUGGCCCAGUAACAAUAUGCUACACCCGUUCCUACUGUCACCAUCUCGUUGAAACUAUUCUCACUAGAAUUAUCACUGUCCUCACUUUGGUCCAUGACAACACCACCCUACAUCAGACAGUACGUGUAACAGAACCGCCCAAUUUACAAGAGAUCAACUAUGAAAAACUCCCGCCAAAGUAGUUGCUUUAACAUAAUCGAACUCUCAUAAACCCGGUAGUCCGUGAAAUCACGCGGGAUUUCAAACCAACCAUCAUACAAGCCAAGAUCGUAAUGAUUCAACAUAACAAGUCACAUGUUACAUCCAUUUCGCAAGUAGUUUGACAUACAUCAGAGUUUAAUAUAUUUAUUACAAUGAAAAGUAGCGGAAGCAAAGUAAUUUGAAACUAAUAUUGCCCUUAUUUCAAAUACAUGCCAGUAUUCAGGUCAACUCCAACAAAAGCAACAUAGAUGAGGUAACUAAGAAGGAUCAUGCCCAUGAUCUUACUCCUCUAAUAUGGUAGGAGUCAUCCAACUCUUGCAGUAGCCAUGAUACAUCACAACCUACAACAAGUGGGAAUAAACCCUGAGUACGAGAAGGUACUCAGCUAGACUUACCCGUCAUAAACCAGAAAUAAUAUGACACCAAGGAGUAUGCAAGGCUUUAUUGGUGGAGCUAGCUUGACAACACUUUUUGCAUAAAAAGCUUAAGUUGCAACUAAGUAACCUUUCAGGUAUUUAGCUCAAGUUAAUAAUCAUUAACCUGUCAUCUAGAUUAGCACCUGUACUAAAGCAAUCACUUGAUUAAGAUACAAUCAUAGUACCCAUAUUCGAUGUGGCAUUUCCAACAUCAUCAUACCAUAAUCAUCCAAGUGUUCCAUAAACAUUACUACGAGGACGGGGCUCAAGUCAAGUGCUCACUAUCCAGGAGCGAUGGCGAUUCGAAUCGAUUUCUGACCAGCUGGCGAGUUAUUCCCCACACAAACCACACUCACCGGCCAAAGUGAGCUACAGGUCACCAUAUUACACUAUCCAGGACCAAUUCGCGGGUUCGGCAGGCACCGCCAGUACCCGAGGACCGUUCCGGCGACCGAGGUAUCCAAGGUAUACCAAGGUUGCGCGCCGCGCCCUCGUCGUUCUCCUCAACCAUCACCAAUACAGCGCAUGGCGGCUCGACUCCCGGCCCGGAUAGUGUUCAGGCUUCGCGGUCGGAACGACUUAUCCUUCCAUCUAAGUGUGGGGCAUGCGUUCAACAUGACAAGAGGGCCGUCAACGAUCGGUCCUUAAUCGACACAGGUGGGGAUAGAUAGGCACCCAAGACCUCCAUGUCUUGUUACUUCUCUAUCAUCGUCCCGCCCGGUCUCCAAUUAUUAAUCCUCAUCACUUGGUUAUUUCCAUGAUAGCAUAUAUAGCCGACCUUUUCAGGUAUCCACCUAUCUCGCUCAGGUGACAGGACAUCACCUGGCUUCUACCGAUCUAAGCAUAGCUAAGCAUUUAGAUUCGAUCCUGAAUCUACAUAGGGUCAUAGGUAUAUUUACUGGACAAGGAGUGAUAUAUGCAGCAAGGGUUUCACCCAACUCCUAUACUUAAUGCAACAAUACAUAUAUAACAUAUAUUCUCAAUUGCAUUCAAAAGUAGUAGGAGACUUAUAAUGCUCCGGGGCUUGCCUGGGAUCAACACGGAGUCAGUUUAAUUAGUUGUUCCAUCUUGGUGACAUCUUAGGUCGCAACACUUGCUUAGUCCUUCCAUCUUCGCGAUGGGUCCACCCAACACCGUCUUCGGGUUUGUUCCCACACCAAGACCUUCACGUGAUUCAUCUAGCGCACCUAGAUGAGAUGCAAGAUGCAAGUGCAUGAAUAUAAAGAAUAAUAACACAACAUGCAUCACAGAAAAGUAUGCAAGACAUAGGCAUUUAAAGUUAUUUAGCUAACAUCACACGACCAAUUAUACAGAGCAAACAUAUCAAUAAUGACACAAGUUUUACAAGGUUACAAGUGUAUUACUUAAUCACCAUUAAAGACAUGAAUCACAGUUUGCACACAACAAGUAAAGCAAUCAAACAUUCAUGCAUUUUCAGCAAUUUUGGACAUACAUGCAGCAACUUAGUAAACAAUUCAUAACUAGAGCUACACAGCUCCAAAAACUAUGCAAUAGGACAUUACGGAAAGAUUAUAAAAUCAUCUACAAUUCAUCUUUAAUCAUAUUAGCAUGAUUAACAAGUUAACUAAGUCAAACAUGCAUGACCAUAUAAUCUGGUCCAGGAAUUUCCAGAGAACAAGCAUUUUAAAGGAUGAAAUUCAUACUACUGUAACUCACAAAACACUUAGCCAAAUGAUAUGAAACUUUACCACAAGAUAUAUUAAUAAGUUAUCUACAUCUUUUAUAUAUACAUGUUUCACAGCAAACAUCAUUUAUAUCAUGGAAUUAAUUGCAUAAAUAAAACUGCUCAUGCUGCCAAACAGUAGAAGUACAAUUACAAACAGAAAACUGAUAGGCAAUUCAAGGAAGCAUAACUGGAGUUGUAGAACUCCAUCAAACAUGAUUCUUAUCUUUUUGGAAAGCUCAUAAAGUUUUCUACAACUUUAUUAUUAUCAUAUAAAUAUGAAUCCACAGUUAACAAGGUCAAUUAACCACAUAAAGACAUCUCUGUCCAAAACAUGGACAGAAUCUGUCAUGCCACAUUACACAGUUAUAACUUAAGUUUCACAUGUCUAUAAUUUAUGGUUGUGUACUUUCUAGAAAGCUUACUAAAUUGUGAACAACUUUGUUAUAAACAUCUAGAGCUAAAUCUACCACUAACAAGGUCUUACAUUACAAACAAUGCAAUUCUAUCUAGGUUUAGACAGAAACUGUAACAGUAAUUCAAACCACUAUAACUAAACAUGUGCUUAACCAAAAAUUGUGCUACUUAGAUUUCUGGAAAGCUUAUGAAAAGUACUACAACUUAUAUAUUUUUAUCAAGGCAUGAUUCACAACUUAACUGAGCCAAACAAUACAAACAUGCAGACCUACUCAGAAUAGGUGCAAAGCAACAAAGGGCAAUUGUUAUUUUUAUAACUCUGAUUCUAUCAAUCCUAAAUUCAUGAAACAAAUUCCAGACAUCAAAUAAAUCAUGAAAAGCAUGUCCUAAUAUUUUCACAUUUAUUUGGGCAAUAACACAGCAGUUAUGAAAAAGACAAAUAUAACAAGCAAUUAAAACCUAACAGCAUAAAUCUAUUUUUACGACUAAAACUUCAAACUAAACCAUACCCUAUUAUAGAUCUACUGCAUAGAUAAUUUCACAUGGAUUCCAAAAAGUCCAUAUUUGCUAUUUUACGACUUUUCUACGAAUUUCUAUGCAUUUCCAAAGUUCAUCCAAGAAAUCUGCAAAAACAAAAGAAAAGGAAAACAGAUCUUGCACCGGGAACCCUAGCUUUUCCAGAAAUCACGCCACAGCCCAGUAACACUAUUCAUCUGAGUCUGUGGUUCGCAUCUGGAACCCUGAGUUGUUUUAUAUUCUAACACGAGGUCCCUUCUCUUCUUCUUUACGGACAGAAAGCAAGCCGGCAGCCGGCAGGACGUUCCGUUCGAGCUCGAGGCUCACGGCCGAAUGGUCACAAGCUACGGUCGUGGGUGCCGCGUCCAACCAUAGCCACGCCAAUCUCCUGGCCGGCUGAGGCAGCAGCAGCGCACCAGAGGAGCAGCACCGGCGACAGCGACAGAUGGGAGAGAGCUGGAGAGAGAAGGAGGCGAGUGGAGGAUGGGAGGGCAGUGCAGAGCGUGUUGGUGUGUGUGAGGAGCGUCUGGCGUGGCUUGCUGUCCACUUUAGACGAGCAGGAGCGCGUGUCAGCCAUGGUGGGAGUGCUCUCGCGCAUGGACGCCGCGUAGGCAAUUCGUCGAGCACGUGGCACGCGACGGUGUGGCUCAGGUGGGAGGCGAUUUUGGGCUUCUUCCGGGCCGAGUUUGAAGAUGGGCCAAAAACGAAGUUUGCUCACCUCAGCCUGCUCUCCAACUUUGAUUAAGGGUGCUCAGUCAUUAGGCCAACAGAUUAGGAGAUAAUUAGAUGCCAAGUCACAAGUGUCAACGUAUUGAUGGUGAUUAGGAAAACUAAGAAUUGAUGGUCCAAACCAUGUCAAACUUGAUGCAACUUUUUGCAUGCUCUUCUCCAAACAAUUAUCCACAACUUUUAUUCUUGGAUCAACUUGAGUUCCUUAACAAAAACACGAGAACGCGGCAUGCCAACGGGUCGAUCUCCGUUUAGCGAUAAAAUAACUUUUUGCUGUUUUGGGAGCUACUUUUAGAUAUCCAAAUAAACUCCAAAUUUGAUGAUACUUGAUCCAUUGCUUUCAUCAAGAAGAGUACUCCAACUCAUAUUAAGGAAUCUAAUUGAGUUACCAUAUGAAUUUGGAUAAUAAAAUAUCACAAAGAAGCUAACUUGCUGCUGUCACUUUCCGGGACUUAGAAUUAUUUCUCAAGGCUAAAAAGCAGCAGCUGAUUCGAACUUGGAGCCUCUGUUUGAACUAUUUGCAUACUGAUUUGGUUCUUGACCCUUGAAUACAGUUUCUUCUACACAAGCAAAACUACAACUUUCAUUUAGGGUCAAACCUCAUAACUGCAACUGAAGUCAACCUUCCACUUUGGUCAAUGCAGUAACCCGAUAAAGCUCCAAAUAGGAUUUUAGGCCAAUUGAAGCAUUUUCUUGACAUAAGCUCAACAUCAACCCUUCAUGACUUUUGUUGUAUAAUUCAUCUAGAGUCCUAUGAGCAAGUUUGGAAGGGUUGGUUCAUGACCCAUGAUUCUAUUUCCUUAAUAGAGCCAUUCCAACAAUGAUAUAACUUAUCAUUUCAUGUGACUUCUUGAUUCCAAACUUAGCCAAACCUUUCCAGAGACCAACAUAGAUUGGGAUGGAUAUAAGACACAUGAAAAAGGUUCCAUUAGCAUCAUCAAAGCAUACCUUUUAAAAAGGCAUAUAUGCAAGCAAGGUUGCAUCCACCAAGCCCAAGUUGGGGUUUACUUUCAUAGAUUGACUUUGACCUCUUUAUUACCAUUGAACUUGUCAUGUUUGAACUCAAACCUAGUACUUAGCAAGUGACAAACACCUGGGGUGUUACAGUACGCAUUGAAAUAUUACAUACGGAAACACUGCUACAUGAACAAAUGAAACAAGGAGAAGCAUAGCAGGAACAAAAUAUGAAGACAUCAAAAGAAAGUGCAGUGCAAGGCAAAUAUUACCACAAUUAAACAUACCACCAAUAUGCAGUUCUAUUAUCUAGUGUUGCCACUGAACCUAGAACACAAAUUAAAAAUGCCACUAUACGUACCUUACUAAUCGAAGAGAUACCCACGAUUCACGCAGUCCGUAACAAGUGCACGACCAUACACUGUUGUCCACAGCAAGACCCUGCACUCAUUGCAAUUAAACAGGUCAGCCGCAGAUAUUGUACCAGAGCACAAGCAAAUUACAUUAACAAAAACACAAAAACCACAGAAAUCAGUUGUGAAAUUGACCAUAACAUACAAAGAAUUAUAGAGCAAAGCAAAACUGCUUUGCACAAGUAGCUCAGUGAAAAAAAAUUACAGCCUCAAGUCAGCCCAUAGGGCAAUACAUGCAUGUAGCCGAAAAAACACAAAUCAAUACAAGACGCAAACAAGCGCAAAUGGAAAACGAUACAAGACAUGGAAAUGUCAUCCGAGGUGUGCACAACACAAAUGGAAAACGAUACAAGACAUGGAAAUGUCAUCCGGUGUGCACUGCACUGAAUGAGGCACCCAGUCACUACUUGGGGUUCCCAUUGACAUGCCAUGCGAGCCGCGCAUGACGCUCUUGUGCAUUCAGCAAAUUCUUGAAUUCCCUAUGGUACACUGAGUUCUUGAACAGCUCCAAUGCAACGAAAAACAUAGUUGAACAUCCUGGCACUCCAUCAUCUCGUAAAAGCUUCAUUGCUUCAUCGACCUCAGCUUGUUCUCGGGUCCGUUCUCGAUCACGAGAACUGCUCCUAGCAGCAAUGCUUUCAGAAAUACGGGCCAUGUACUCCCCCAUGUCACAAGAUUUCUUCUUCACCGGGCUAGUUGCACCAUGCUCUCUAGAGGGCCUCUUAGACCUAGAAUUGUUGGUUGAGAGUCCAGGCGGGAAAAUUGGCGGAGGGAUUGCAUCCCGAUGCCCCCCGGCUGACAUAAAAAUGCCUGUGUUACUGUUACGGUCACCGUACAAUGCUUCAAGUAGAUCCAGGAACUUUGGUGCCUUUGCACGUGUUGGAACUGGUGAGCUUGGAUCCUGGAAACAAAUCGAACAGUACUGUAAGUACUUCCUGUGUACAAGACAUGGGAGUAUGGAACCAAACUAUGUAGAGCUGAAAAUGUGAGCGCACGUGCCUCUCCCUGAGGCUGGGAACCGUACUGUGUGUCCCAAUACUCAGGUUCUGCAGCAAUGUCACGUGUGCGUGGUUCCCUACCGAGACCAGUGGCUAUCUGGCUUGCUUUCCAUUUGACAUAUGUGCUUUUUAGGGCAUAGAGUUUGUUGUUGCAUUGCUUCUUAUCAUAGUGAGGGAAGUAGGUGUAAACGUUGGACCACCCAGUAUUAGUCAGCCCAAGAUAACUGAAGUUCAAUUUGUCCUUCUCUUGAAGGCACAAUCUCAGCAAGAGCCUUGUCUCCUCAUCAUUCCAGUGUGCACGUGACAUCUGUCGGAACAUGCAAGUGCUAAUAUAGAUUGGGGCUAUGCAAAAUGAGGGCACUGAACCAAGCAUAGGAACAUGAACAAAGUAAAAGGCAUUGUGUAGUGAGCAAGAGAGUAUAUACUUGCCUUCCUUGCGCGUUUGAUGAGCCGGGGACGCAGCUUGUAUCGUGCAGCUUACGGCGGUGAGCUGGAAGCUGUCGACGAAGCUGCCAGUCUAGGGAAUUCGGUAGGAGACCUGCAAUACAAAAAACAAUGAAUUAGGUUUGUUUUGUCCAUUGCAGUUUGGAAUGCAGUGUCGUGCUAAAUUCAUAAUGGCAUCCAUCUUUUAGGGUGGAUAGAGGAGUUCAUGAAGCGGACUACAGAUGAUUUGCAAAUAAAAUGGGCUUCACUAAGCUUAGCCUUGUGCUGCCUCGCCUCGGAGUGUGAGCAGACUGCUCGUCAUCGAAAUGUGACAACUUACAACAAAAUCAUGAACAAUGAUGGGGAUUGAAGAUACAAGAGUGCAGGCCUUUUGUGCUUCGCAAACCCUAACCGUUACCUGAAACAAGCACACUAGGAACAGCCAUGGGCUCCACACCAUACCCUAAACGCUACACCGAGGCACAGAGCGCAAAUCCUCCCACUCCCCAAAAUAGGAACUCUAACCAUGGAUUUGUCCAGUUCAAGUAACCAAAACCCUAGAAACAGAAUGGUACAUGGAAAGGGGAUGAGGAAACGAAUCGGGGGCGUACUGGAGAAGUUGAAGGAGCACCGGAGAAGUUGGAGGAGCUCGUGCUCCGACCACCGCGGAGUCUCCGAGGCGACGACGCAUACGGGCGCCGGGGAUGGGUGAGUGCUAGGGGGUUGACGGACGAGAGGCGACCGUUGAUAGCGUACGAGUUUGGUUCGGCAGCGAGGGGGGAGGGGGGCACGGUCAUCUCAAAAAUAAAAAUAGCUCACAAUAGUUCAUUAAGCCAUUGUAGCUUCAACAAAUAAGCACUUAGAUUUACAUAUGCACAUGGUUCAAUUUGUAUAUAGGUAGCAUCUACACCCAUUUUAACUACUUGAGUCUGCCACUAGCAUCAGAUCAGGACUAGUUAAUUAAGCUCUAAAUUAGGACCGGGCCAGAGGAAUCGACCAACCAGAAGCAAAGAUCAUGCGCACAACGGACAAAAAGUAAUCACCUCGAGAAGGACCUUGGAAGGGGACCAGCGGGAUUUGGAAGGCACUUGGCUUUAUUGUCGCUGUCGGGCGGAGCUGGUCCAGGCGUUGCAGAUGAUGGGGACGAGAGCCGAUACCUCGCUGGCCCGGGCGAGCUCGCAGUAGGGCACGCCGCUGCGCCUGGAUGGAGUGGCAAGUCGUUGCCGCGAGUGGGCGGCCAGAGGGCGCGCGAGCUGGCACGCACUCGAGCAGCCACGGGGGGAAAAAGCGAGAGGGCAGGGGGGAAGAAGCCACACGGCUCGCGGCCCAUCGGUGGGAGGGUGGGACGAUUAAUGUUUUUUAAAAAAAAAUCGCAAAUACCGGUGAUGGAGGUGAAAAUUCUAGGACGGGGUGCUCUCGACGCAAGAGGCAGGGCGAGUGAAUUUCCAGCUCGGACACGAAAUAUAUCCAGCCGAGGGUCCUCUGUCUUCAACUACGGUCUUGUUUAUAUACUUCACUCAAAAUCAAAAAAUUUUCAAGAUUUUUCAUCAGCACAUGUAUUUUAGCAUUAAAUAUAGAUGAAAAUAAAAAUCUAAUUACAGAGCUUGUCUUUUAAAGUCUAUUUACUCCGGUGGAUUUAUGUCCUGACAUGAUUCGAGAUGCCGUGCAUGGCUCGAGCGCUGCAGUGUUGGUGGGAGCCACCACAAAAUAGAAAAGAGUAAAAAUUACGGUCUGUACAAAGGAUACAGUAACUCCACUCAAUCAAUUUUUUAUUAGCCAAAAAUUACGGUUUGGCUAGUUUUAGCAGGACACUUAAAAAUACCAGCUGCCAGCUACCGUCACUGUGGAGGGUCCACCGAGCGCAAGCCAGCUGCCCCGCCAAUGCGCGCCACAGUCAAGGGAUUUGACGUCCUAGGGCAGGCGUGCGCAGGUCUGCUGCAGCAUUGAAGGCGGCACGCGAUUGCAUCCAAAGGCGUGCUGCUGAUCGACGACCGGCCUUGCUACACAUGCGCGCGCGCGGCGCUGCCAACAACGUUUUGGAUUCUUGUUCCGAUGUAAGCAUGCAUGCGUGGUCCGAGUUUAUUGCGACAGUACAAGCUUAAGCUGCUUCUAAAUUCUAAUCCACAGAGAGAUGUUGUCUGGUUUUUGUUUGCUUCAAUCCAAAGUCAUAGUUAUUUCGUUGUCUCUGUACUUGCCUGCUUAAGUGUGACAGUAGAGGUGCAUCAACUAUUCCUUUGUUUUUAUUGUGUUGUGGCAAAGAAGGUCAUGAUGGCUCACGAAUAGAGGUGUGAAUAAUGGUGGUAGGUGGCGGUUGAAGCGCUUGUGAUCCAAGGGCCCAAGCUGGGCCCCACCAUGCUCAGCCAAGCUGCCUUGCUACCGCCUUGGGCUCUGGGAUGGAAAAAAUGCUUUGGUACUUGUUUAGUUCACCCCAAAAUUCAAAAAGUUUUCAAGAUUUUCUGUCACAUCGAAUCUUGCGGCAUAUGCAUGAAGUAUUAAAUAUAGACGAAAAUAAAAACUAAUCAUACAGUUUGACUGUAAAUUACGAGACGAAUCUUUUAACCUAGUUAGUCUAUGAUUAGAUAAUAUUUAGCACAAACAAACGAAAAUGCUACAGUUUCGAAAACUUUUCAGUUUUUGGAACUAAACAAGGCCUUGGGAUGGGGCUGCAGAUGAGUGCAAGUGCACAGCGAGCCGACCGUCAUGGACGUCCGUGUCCGUCCGCAUGAGCACGUUUGGUUCCCGAGCAGGUUGGGCCCCCCGCCAUUCCCUUCCAAGCUAGGCCUUGUUUAGUUUCCAACAAAUUUUGCAAAAUUUUUCAGAUUUCCCGUCACAUCGAAUCUUUAGACGUAUGCAUGAAGUAUUAAAUAUAGACGAAAAUAAAAAUUAAUUGCACAGUUUAACUGUAAAUCACGAGAUAAAACUUUUGAUCCUAAUUAGUCCAUGAUUGGACAAUAUUUGCCACAAACAAACGAAAUUGCUACAGUAGCGAAAUCCAAAAUCUUUUCGUAUCUAAACAAGGCCUGGACCUUGUUCAGUUCCAAAGUUGUUGCUUCUGGGAUAUUGUAGCAUUUUGUUUUUAUUUGACAAAUAUUUUUCAAUCAUGGAUUAACGAAGCUUAAAAGAUUCAUCUCUAGAUUUAUAGUUAAACUGUACAAUUAGUUUUUAUUUUUAUCUAUAUUUAAUAUUUCAUACAUAUGCCGUAAGAUUCGAUUUGAUGAAAAAUCAUGAAAAAAAAUUUGAUAGUUUUUGAAACUAAACAAGGCCUUAAGUUUUUUAUUCAAAGUCGACGGAGAGCAGAGCUGUCUCAGGUAUCUACUGCGCAAUAGCGUGGUUGCUGCGCAACAGUGUGUGGUUGCCUCGUCCGGUCUUCGAGGUAGAGCCGUGCACACUAGGCGGAGUCCGCUACAGGCUAUCAUGCUUUCUUCCUGGCAGAGGCGGGAAAGUGCAGUACCUUGGGGCCUUUUUUUUUUCCUUUUUUGUCACCACAGACACAUUGCCAUUUUUGUUUUUUCAAAACUCCUAACGCCGCGUCCACACCUGGGGAGGCUCGAGCGCCCGCAAGGCUAGCUCUUUGGGCGGCGGCCGGCCGUGGGCGCGCGCUUGGCUCUGAGGUGGGAGCUAGCGGGCGGCGCGGGGGCAGGCGCGCACGGCAGUGGGAGGCGUGCGCGGCUGCUGCCCGGAAGGCGUGCGAGGCGCGGCCGGGCGCGCGCGGAAGGCAGCCUUGCGUGCGGCUGCGCGCGGGGGGCAGGCAGGCACGAUGGAGGUACGUGCGGCGGCGAGCGCGCGCGACGCAGGCUCCGGCAGCAUAUGAGGCGGGGGCAUAUGCAUAUGCAUGCUAGCUAAUUGACUUAAUUGAUUGCCCAGCGAUCACUCCAACUAGUUAUGCUCUGCUUUCCAUCCAAUCCUCCAUCAUCUCCCCGCGGCGUGCUCAGCAGCUGAUCAGCUCCGUCAGGUCAGCAGAUGGACCAUCCCUGUGUUUUGAACUACUAAAAUUUAGUUAUCUAAAAUUUUACAAGGAAACCAUGCAAACAGAGCCUUAAUAGCGCAUUGUAUAAUUUAAUUGGGCUUUACUGACGGUAAUCUGCUGUUUAUUUAUUUCGAUCGGAUGAUCACGAUCAAAUAUUACCUGCCUAGGAGGUAAUAUAUGAAGCAUUUAUUUAAUUAAUUUUUAAUUUUGGAAAAUAUGACAAAUCUGGAAAAGCUUUAAGAUCGUUUUAGAUCUAAUUGAUGCAUUCAUGAUCCAUUGAAUGUGGUAAAUCUUCUUAUUUUUUCAACCUUAUAUAUAGCAUAAUUUAAUUAACAUAAACUACAUAACUUUUAUAUUCAAGUAACUCGCGUAUACGUGUAUGCAUGUGCUCAAAGUGACGUGAAAAACGAUGUGUACAUGUAUGUGCCCAACAUAUAUUUCUUUUCCUUUUUUCUUUUCUUAGAUCAAUUAAUUGAUUUUAAAAAUCUAAAAACUAAUGACUCGGAUUUAUUUGAAAUAUUACAUCCUUAGAGGUAAAAAGGGUGUAUCUUAGCAUUGCCCAAUUCAAUUUGUUCUGUGUGAGUGCGCUUAAUUAUAAUUCUAUCUCGAUCUCUGCAGGAGGGCGAGCUCGCUUACUUCUUGAUCUUUGUAGUACAUGCUUCGUCAGCCAUCCUCCGGCAGUGCUUCGCCUCCCAGCAGGGCCAGUGGGUGAGCUCUCAGCAAAACUUGUGCAACUUUGCAUUCUGAAAUCAGAUCUGACAAAAUAAUUAUGUUGUGUUGAUUGACUUAAUAUUCUUUUAUUUUCAUUUUUUUAGACUAUGGCUGAUCGAAACCGUUGGAUGUAUCUUGGGAAUCGUACUAGUUUUGAGUACGUGAAUGGUCUUCAAUCUUUUCUGAAAGUUGCAAGUAGAGAUAUGUCGAAUGGACAUAAGUCAGCAGUGUGGUGUCCAUGCAAUGAUUGUCAGAAUGAAAAGCAAUUCUCGUAUUUGCUAGAAAUCCAUGCUCAUCUACUAAUUCGAGGAUUUAUGGAUGACUAUAUAUGUUGGAACAAACAUGGAGAAGAAGGUACCAAUGACCGAGACCAAGCGCAGGCUGCUGGUCAACAGGAUGGUGAGGAUAGCCUCCAUGAAUUCAAUGAUACAUGUGGCGAGGAAGCACCCUUUGGCAAUCAAGAACUUCGUGAUGAUGAUGUAGCAGAUAUAGCUGCGAGCUUUGAUGAAGUCCAUCUUGCCGAGAAUCUAGAGGAGAUGGUGCGUGAUGCAGGCUUUGCUAGUUACGCUUGUCCAGAUUUGAAGAAGCUGGAACAACUGUUAAAGGAUAUGAAGACCCCACUCUAUCCGAAUUGCAGGAGGUAUACAAGGUUGUCUGGUUCGCUAAAGCUUCUCCAAUUGAAGGCAUCAAAUCAUUUGACUGACAGGGGCUUCAAAGAAAUGCUAGAAGUGCUUGCAGAUAUGUUUCCUGAGGAGAAUGAGAUACCCAAGACUACAUAUGAGGCCAAAAAGAUUAUCUGUCCAAUGGGAUUAAAGUUUGAGAAAAUUGAUGCUUGCAAGAAUAAUUGCAUCUUGUUCACUGGUGACAAUAAAAAAGCCACGGAAUGCCCCAAGUGUCAAACCUCUCGUUACAAACAAGGAACUGGUGAGGUUGUUGGUGGCAUGAUGCGUCGUAAAGUACCUAUGAAGGUCGUAUGGUACUUCCCUAUAAUCCCUCGCCUAAAACGGUUGUUUGCAACCUCUAAGGACGCACAACUGUUGACUUGGCACUCAGAUGGCCGGAAGGUUGAUGGUUAUAUACGACACCCAGCAGAUGGUAUUCAGUGGCGGUACAUUGACAACAAAUAUAAAUCUUUCGCUAAAGAACCAAGGAAUCUUCAGUUUGCACUAAGCACAGAUGGUAUGAACCCAUUUGGUAAAAUGAGUAGCUCACAUAGCGUCUGGCCUGUGUUGUUAAGUAUCUACAACCUUCCACCCUGGUUGUGUAACAAGCAGAAGUACAUGAUGAUGUCAAUUUUGAUCUCUGGUCCGCAUCAACCAGGUCUUAGCAUCGACGUGUUUCUAAGGUUGCUUAUUGAUGAUUUCCAAGAACUCUAGAAAGAAAAGGGUAUUAAGGUGUAUGAUGGUUUUAGGAAAGAGUCUUUCGACUUACGUGCCAUGUUGUUCACCACCAUCACUGAUAUUCUAGGACAUCGUAGCAUUUCUAGGCAGAGCAAAGGAGAAAAAGACUGCUUUCAGUGCUUAGAUGACACCGAGACUGUUUGGCUAAAUAACUCAAAGAAAAGAGUUUAUGUAAGGCACCGGCGUUUCCUUCGUAUGUCUCAUCAUCCAUACCGGGAAAUGAAACAUCAGUUUGAUGGGACGAGGGAGACCGGAUCUGCUCCAAGGCAUUUCAAUGGUGAACAUGUUUAUGAGCAGGUGCUAAAGGAUAUCACACCUACAGUUAACCCUAAGAGCACUGUUCUUGGAAAGCGAAAGCGCAAUGAAAAAACAAAUAGUGUCGAUAAAAAGAGGUGGAAGAAAAUGUCAAUCCUAUGGGAGCUACCUUACUGGAAAGACCUUAGGGUCCGCCACAGCAUCGACCUCAUGCACGUGAAAAAGAAUGUCUGUGGGAGUUUACUUGGGACACUCAUGAAUGAUAAACUUAAAACCAAGGACCAUGCAAAAGCAAGAGCUGACCUAGAGGAGUUGGAUAUAAGGCCCGAGCUCCAACCUAACGGUGCUAGUGCCCCGCCACGUUUAUGUGCCGUAAACCUAACUCGAUCAGAGAAGCAAGAAUUGUGUGACUUCUUUCGUAGUGUCAAAGUUCCCUCUGGAUACGCGACUGACAUCCGAAAACUUGUACAUCCAAAAGAAAACAAAAUGCUCCCCAUGAAGGCUCAUGAUUGUGAUGUUAUGCUCACAACAAUGCUUGCUGUUGGUAUUCGGAACAUAUUGCCAGAAAAAACCCGAAAGGCAAUCAUGAGUCUCUGCUUCUUCUUUAAUGCAAUCUCUCAGAAGGUCCUUGAUGAAGAGUCACUAUAUGAUCUUGAAGAAAACAUAUAUGAGACAAUGUGUCUCCUUGAGGCUUACUUCCCGCCGUCUUUCUUUGACAUAUCGGUCCAUCUCAUUAUACAUUUGGUUAAGGAAAUCAGGUAUCUUGGACCGAUGUUCCUCCACCACAUGUAUCCAUAUGAGAGAUUUAUGAGUACUUUGAAUAAGUAUGCUAAGAGUCGAGUUCACCCUGAGGGAAGCAUGGCGCAGUGCUAUUCUACUGAAGAGGUGGUCGACUGGUGCCUCAGUUACAUUGACCCCACAAAUCCAAUCGGCAUCUCCAAGUCUCGCCAUGAGGGAAGGCUAGCGGGGAAAGGGUUUCUUGGGGAGAAGAAAAUUAUUCCGGAUGCAGAUGACUUUGAAAGAGCCAAGUUUCCAGUGUUACAACACACAAAAGGAGUGGAACCUUACAUCACAGAGCAUAAGGAGGAAUUGAGGCAACUUUAUCCACACAGGGGCGAGUUUUGGGUAGUGAGGACACAUAUGAAUGAGUUCAAUAAUUGGUUUAGAGAUAAAUUUUCCAGUUCAAGCUCUUGCACAGACAAUAAGCUACGACAGGUGGUAGCCGGCCCGUUCUUCACAGUCACAACUUAUCAGGGCUAUGACAUAAAUGGCUACACGUUUUACACCAUUGAUCAAGACAAGAAAAGUGUGUACCAGAACUCUGUUGUUCGUGUAGAUGCAUUUAACAGCAACAUGCAGAAGACAAUAUACUACGGCCAGAUUGAAGAGAUAUGGGAACUCUCGUAUCAAGGCUUCAAGAUGCCUCUUUUUCGGUGUAGAUGGGUUAAGGGAGGACAUGUCAAGAAAGACCCAUAUGGCUACACCACAGUUGACCUUGAACAGAUUGGGUACAAGGAAGAGCCGUUUGUAGUCGCAAGUCUGGUUUCCCAAGUCUUCUAUGUGCGUGACACUAGAAACAUGAAACAACUUGUGGUUCUCCCUGGGAAAAAGAGGGUUGUGAGAGUUGAAAAUCCAGUGGAAGAGGAAGAGUUCAAGCAAUCCAAUGAAGUCUCUCCUUUUGAUACUUCCAUCCUCCCUGUGCUUUUGGCGAGCGAGCUAACGCCAUACCUAAGAGCUGGUCGUAGAGAGAGUGCUCCCGUGGAAAAAACACGCCGAAAACAGCAAGCACGUAGAAAAUGAUGCUCAUGUGAGUUUUUGAGCAAAUGCCCCUAUGAUUUUUUAGAACAAUUAAGCCUCUUGGUGAUUUAGCAAGCUGCUUAUAACUUGAUGUUUAUUUAUUAUGCAGGUAUAUAUAUAGGAGCUCCUCAACUGCUUAAGUUGCUGCUGCUGCACUUCGAACACAUGGAAUCUGAUUUACUUGGUAGAGAUAUAGGCGCUAGCAGAUGGAAAUGUUUAACUCUACCAGAAGUUGGUUGCUUUCUGGUGUAAAAUUCUAGAACUGAUCAGUAUAACUUAUUAUAUGCAAUAUAUAUAUUGGUGUUGCAGUUGGCACAAUGUACUUUAUUCUUUAAUUUUGGCCUCUUAUUUGAUUCUUCUUAUUAGUAACUAUAUGCAACACAACAAUCAAGAGUGGCAGACACAACUCUAAUGAGGUCCAUAGGCAAUUCAGAGAUUUGUGUCAUCCAGAUGCUGCAUAGAUGAUGAAUCGGAAUUUCCACAUAUUUGUCUUUGGUAAAUGAGAGGAGCUUUUCUUCUCUGAUUUUACAAUCGGUGGCAUUGUGGGUUUUGUUGAAUAGAUGACAAUGCAUAUAAAGAGCUAAUGAUGUUUCAUGAGAUUUUCACUUAAAUAUCAAUGUGAAUUUUCACUUAAAUAUCAAUGUGAAAAGUGCAGUUGAAACAUGUGACCAUCAAUUUUUACUUCAAAGAAAGAUGCGAACAUCAUGCUUCAUUUCGAGAGAACUUUGGUUUUGAUGUUAAUUUCAUUUGAACUUCUCUUGAGUUAUAGGAUGGCAUACUAUUAAGUGGGGUUGAAAAUGAUAUUACUUAGUUGUUUCUUUAAGUGCUCAAUAGAUCUUUUAUUAACUCUAUAAACACCUCUAUCAAAAUUUCCCUUGGUCAAGACAGAGAACCCUUCCUCAGAAAUAUUACUCAUCCGACCUAGAAAUUCAUCCUUCUAUUUUCUCGUUCCAAGACAGAGAACCCUUCCUUGGAAUUAUUACUUGACCGUGUUGGAAAUUCCUCCGUCCAAAAACCUGUAAAAUUUCCCUCGGCCUCCUCAGAAAUAUUACUCACCCGACCUGGAAAUUCAUCCUUCAAUAUUUUCUCGUCAAAUUAUUACUUCACCGAGUUGGAAAUUGCUCCGCCCACAAAUAAUUCAUCCUUCUAUAUUUUCUCGUUCCAAGAGAGAGAACCCCUCGGAAUUAUUAGUACUUCCCAGAGCUAGAAAUUCCUCCGUCCACAUCACAGCCAUUUCAUUCAAACGGAGUUCAUUGCACAAUUGAUUGGUUUCAAUGAACAAAACACAUUUCCAUUACAAUACCUACUAAUACUUCAGCAUCAUGCUGAUGACACCAACAACAACAAACACAGUAACAAUCACACAACAGACAACUCCAAUUUGGCCUAGGCCUACAAGCUUAUUCAGCUUUGCAUCUAAACCAGCAAUCCCACUCUUCAGUGCCUCCACAUCAUGUUCUUCUCCCUGCAACCCUCCAAGCUCAUCAUUAUUCACAACUUGUUGUCCAUGGCCGCCUUCUUUGGCAAUCAGUCCCCUUGCAACCAGCAAUUGCUCAUACUUGUCUUGAAACAAGUACCAAGGGCACGUUCCUGGCACCUGCACUUGCAAAUUCCUGACCAAAUCAGGCACAGUCCCGGAUCAAAGGCAAGAAAAUACAAACCCUAUAGCAAAAAAUGGCACUGAGGACUUACAUCUCUUUCAUGAAACCGGCAUUUGAAGAAAAUGGACCCAGGAACCUUGGAUCCGGGAACACAAACGAGCUCCAAGACCUCCGCACCACACUUGGGGCACGACACAAGCGGAAGCCCAGUCUUCUCCCCACGGUCUGAUGCCAGACGCUGGUAAGCAGAGCUCCCAGCGCCGCUAUGGUCGGACGACGCUCGCAUGAGGUACGACUUGGGGGAGGGUGGAUGGGCUCAGGGCAGCGGCAAUGGUGGAAGGUGACGGCGGCGUCGACAGCCGGCAGAGGUGACGGCGGCGUGGGAACGGCUCCUGUUCGGGCCCGGGGAGAGACGAAAUGAGAAGGAUCGGAGAGGAUGAGGUCACGCUCCUGUUUUGUCCGGUUCAGACGUGAAACAGUGAGGGCAGGAUGGUCUUUUGGCGUCCCUUCUUCGAGGCGCCUUUCUAGCACAGCGAUCCAGACAUCCACUUCAUUUUUUCCGCAUCUCGCCAGCAUUGCCCUGCCUGCCUGCGCCCUCGCUGCCCCUCCUCGGCAGCGACCCGAGCGGCUCCGAUCCAGGCUGUGCCGUGCCGGUUUGCGAGCUCACCCGGGCCAGCGAGGCGGCUCUCGUCCCCAUCAUCUGCAGCCCCCGGACCAGGUGCUCCGCCCGACAGCGACAAAGCCAAGUGGCCCUCUGGUCCCCUUUCUCAAGCACGUGAAGGUCCUUCUCAAGGUGAUAUCUUUUUGUCCGAUCUGCGCACGUUCAUCGCUUUUGGUCGAUUCCUUUGGCCCCCUCAUAAUUUAGUGCUUAAUUAGUCUCGAUCUGCUGCUACUUUGCAACCCUAGUCUUUUUCUUUGCAAAAUCCAUCAGUUGGGUUUGUGCCAGUGGCGGACACUAGUAUAUACUAGAAACCAUGCGCGGCUUUGCCGCACUCCUGCCUGUGUUGGCCAGUGCCCAGUCCGUGAUGCAUGCGGGAGUAUGUGGAGACCAUUACUGUGCUCCUUUGCUGCUUGGAUAAUAUAUAAGAAUAUCCAUCAUUAUAUUGAUUUUGAAUGAGAAAAAUAUUGUGAUGCAAAAUAGUAAUAAUUGAAAAUAUCAAAUAAUUACCUAUGGCAUUACGAUGAUAAGAAUAUGCAAUUUGCAACUUUCUAAAUGUGUAGCAAGUACAGAUCUUACUUUAAGUUUGUAAACAUAUAAACAAUUCAACUCAGUCCCUAUCCUUGUUAGAGCACUGAGCCAGAUAUACUUUGAGUCCUUUGAUGUCGCUAGUAGAUCAAUCUGUGACAUAUAGUAUCAACAAGUAACUAAAUGUAAAAAGAUGUGCAAGCUGAUAAUGUUAGCAGCUGAAUAUUCACUUACGUAGUUAGUAAUUGCAAGAUCGACUACUAACAAGCUGAGAAAAGUUAUAAAUAAUUGAAUUUACAUGGACAUUUUACUAGCAUCGUUUGAUCUGUUAACCAUGCUUCAGAUAUAAAUCUUGGUGAAGUUUAAUAGGGGUCACUCCUGAUAGAUCUCUUAUAUAUAGCUAAAUUUGUCUUUCUUCAACUAAUCAUGCCCCACCUGCAGGAUAUUGUAAAGCAAAGGAUGAUAAGAAGGGAUUUAUGUAAGUAGACAUCAAAUUUGAAUAUGUUCAAUAGCUAAAUUUAUAAUAUAGAUCAAGUUGGCUGAGUGUAUGAAGAUAGCGAGAAGUGUACAAUGAAAUGUCAUGGUGUUUAGGACAUUUAACUGAUGAAAUUAAGUAUAAUAAGAAGUAUCAGUAUGAGAAAAGUAAAAGUUAAACAUGUUUGAGCAGGGCUGAGAAUGAAGUGGCAACUAUAUCCAAACUGUAUGUGGGAAAAAGUAAACACCAUAGACAUGGAAUAAGGUACAGGCAUAUGGAUGAGCUAACACUUGAUUACUCCAGUGGACUUAUUACUGACUUGUACCUAUCCUUGGAUUUAUUCCUCCCCAUAAUAUUGUCUAAAUAACAAUACACCAUACCAUCGUGGACACAUGCAUUGACAGAUAAAUUUAUGAAUACAGUUGCCCAAAUUGUAGGAAAUAGGAUAUUUGGCAUUCAAGUUGUUCUAUGCUUUAAAUACUAAAUCUGUGUAUAAAAAUGAUAAUAAUCUUGAAUACAGUCUUUUGCAGGCCCUGUUAGUUUUUUUUUACCACAAUCCUAUAUUUGUUUAGCAGCCCUACUCGAUGAGUAUACUUGUUUGCCACUAAAUGACACUAAAGGAAUGCUCAUCCACAAAUUUCAUUCUGUUGUUUAAUUCAUGUAUAUUUCCUUUGACAGUUUAGCAAACAUCUGAGUUAAUUAAAGCCUAGAACUAAACACAUCAAAACGAAAAUUCAACCAGGAGCUGAGUAGCUGACACAUUUGCUUGUCAAAGUAGCAUAACACAUGGAUAUGUAAGUGUAGAGCAUAGAUUAAAAAAGAGAGAAAUCAGAAUGGGAGAAAUAUGUGUUUAAUACCUGAAGUUGUUUGGGGUUCUUGGUGUUGUUGGUUCUCACCUUGGCAAGUGAUGCGCCCUUGCUGGCUGCACUGUGCACAUGGAGAUGACUGGAGAGUGGCAGCACCUCUAUGUCGCAUUGAAAAGCUAGUUCCCAUUUCUGCUGCGGCAUUUUGUCAAAUAGCUUUUGAGCAUAGGUAGGGGACUCGAUAAUGAUCCCCUGCUGCUGCGCCGCCGGUCCACGACGCUUCGGCGAGGCCCUGGCGUGCUGCCCCAGUUUUGAUCUCUCUCUCUCUCUCUCUCUCUCUCGUGGUCCAGGCCCCCGGCCAUGGCGGGUUGGAGCUGCUCCCUGGCGUGGUGGCGAGAUGGCCCUAGCCCCAGCGCUACUCCUCCCUGGUGCGGGCGUGGCCAGCUCUCCGGUGUGGGAUGCGGCCAGCGGCGCCUGCCGCUUGCGAUGCGCAGGCAGAGGGGAGGGAACGGCCAGAGAACUGUGGUCCGCGAAGGUUCACGAUGAUGGAUCGGUCGAGACCCGAACUGACCCGUAUCGGACAGACCAGAUCGCUUGACCGCUUGAUCCAACGGGUGUCGGGUUAGCGGGCGACGUGGCCCUAUCCAUUAGCCCGCUUUUGGUGCAAGAAUCAUAUUUAGAGAUAACGUUGGGUGCUACAUAUAUUUGCACGAACAUGCGGCCGGCAUUGAAGUAGAGUGGCCGCGGCGGGCCAAGCUCCUGCUCCGGCCACGCCACGCGCUCAGGGCACUGGUGGUAGUAGCCGAUCAAAUUGUGCAGGGAGUUAAGCAUUUAUGUGUUCAAGUUUAUAUCCAGUUGUGCCCAUAAAAAGAAGGCUAGUCCAUAUGCUUGGGUUUUUGAACAUGAAAAUCCUGGUUAGGAUGCUGCAGGUAUAUAAAGCAAAAGGUCAUUAGCAGCAGCAAUAGGGGAUGUGUGAAAUGCUGAACAAAUAGUAGUCAUUAUGUAAAGGUGCCACCGAUUUCUGUAAAGCUAACACAUAGGAAACUACGUACUACUCAGAUCUUCUGUAAAACUAAUACCUUGUAUAAACCACUCAGAUUUUCUAUUACGAUGGGAUGACAGUUAUCAAUUAACACUGUUUAGCAUACAAUUACUGGAUGAGUGAAUUCAGGGAAUUAUAUUCUUAUAUACAUUUGGUUAUUUAAAGCAAUACUGGCUUGAUGGAAGCACUACCAAAAACAUAAUAAGCAAUUAUAAGAAACAAACCAAAGUGUCUCAUGAACUCAAGCACAAAAGGAAGAUGAAUAAAGCAGUGAAUGAAUUAAUGCUGAAUAGGCUGGAUAUUACACUGGUUGAGAUGCUGCAAUAGACGCUUCUCCAUGUGAGUACAGAUAUAGGGCUGUCAUGCUAGUAGGGACAAUUAAAGUCAGCCAAGUAGCACACUAUCAAUAAAACAACAAAAAACAUUGCAUGUGUGUCAAAUACAAAUAAUAUUAAAGGACUUACAAAAAGUAACUUCAGAUUGAAAAGAGAUGAAGGCAGCAUAAAGAAUAUUAAUAAAAGGAAGAAACAACAAACAUGAUAUGUGUCUAGAAAUCCUGAUAUCUUAUAAGAGAACCAGAUUGAAAAGGGGACCAAUUAUCAAAAUGAUUUGGAACUAGAAAUGUACCAGUAAAUCAUGUUGCUUAAGAAACAGUAGAGUACAUUUUACACAGGAAAGUAAGUUCAUCAUAUGCUUGCUCGCAGAAAUCUACAAGUAUAGUUGUCGUGCAGACUAUUGCAGUGCAACUCAACAGAAUAGAUAGUUGUGAACUCAGCACUCAAGCCAAGCCAGUAGUAUUGAUGCACUUCCAAAGGAAAAGGAAACACAGAGAUACAAAUAAUGGUAAUACCAUGCGCUUGUACUCCACGAACUGCAUGUCUCAGGCAUAUGAAUUAGUUGCUUUGCUGGUUCUUAAUUUAACUGUGAUCAUCAAUUGGAUGGAACAGAGAUACAAAUGGUAAUAACAUACUAUACCUCCCAGAUCCGGAGCCUGUAGUACAAUUCAUGUUGUACCUAAUGUAAAAUACAAAGAAGAGUCAAUCAAGAAGCUGUGUGAAAGGAAAAAUACUAUGCUAUUUAGGGGCAUUGUUAACAACAAACUGUCAAUGUCUAAAUGUUACUCAUCUAUCCACUGAGAUUGUGUGAACACUUGCAAGAAUCUAAAAAUAGUAUUUUGAGUUCAAUUGUUGCUGAUUGGGGUAUAAAGUUCAGAAAAAUUAGUUAAGUAUAUUUUAAAAAAAGAUAGAUGGUAUGGUGUAUUACUGCUUUGAAUGUCAACUAUCCUAGAAACCGAAUCUUGAAAAAUAUAUUUGGACAAGUUAUACACUGUUAUCAAAUAAUACAACUGAUGUAAGUUCUUUUGCUCGUUGUUUCCAGGAAUCUGACAAAGAAAAAAGGCUGCUGGUCACUAGUCCGUUAGUUGUUGUUUCUUCGGAGUUGUAGCUGUUGACUAAGUACAGAUCCCUUUCCGAAUGGUAAGCUAAUUAGUUUGUGAUAUACUAACACUACUUCUAGAUAGAUGGCAGAGUUGUAUCAUGGUCAAUAAGACCCUUUAAUAUAUUUUGUUUUAUAGGUCUCUGAUGAGGAAUAUUUAUCAUCAAAUGCCGACGAAAGAGUUGAUAGUGAAGAGGAGGAAGGGACAGAUGCUAAUACAGAGGACCAACAUAGUGAUGAUUCUACACAGGAGGGAGCGGUAGAUGCUGAUGCAGAGGUGCUAGCAUCUCAACCUCGGUGUCCACUCCGGAGAAAGAGGACAGUCACAAAGUGGCCAGAAGACAAGAUAGUUGUCAUGGAGCUCACGGAGGAUGGGAUGCCCAAUGAGAAGGAGGCCAAGGCAAGAAUGAGGAGGCUUGCUGGUUUGAUUGCUAGGCAAAGGAUAUCCUUGGUCAUCGCAUCAUUCAGUGUCCUAAGUGAUGAAGAUAAGAUGCAUUUAUUUGAUGAUUGUGUCCAGCCUAAGUUGGAGUUUGCAGAAGAGUUAAAGGAUAUGGCUUGUAAGAAGAUGAUGCAGAUGGUAGCCAAAUGUUGGAGAACACACAAAAGCCACCUAGUAAGCAACUAUGUCAGCAAAGGGUUGAAUGCCACGACCAAGUUCAAAUACAUUGCUCCAAAAGAUUGGGAAGAUUUUGUGACACUAAAGCAGAGCGAACCUACAAAGAAAGAAAGUAUGAGAUUCAAGAAGCUUCGGGAGAGGAACAAGCAUGACCACCACCUGGGGACAGGGGGCUAUGCUGGGAAAUCGGCACAGUGGGAGCAAGAGGACAGGGAGUUAGCCGUUGCAGGCAUUGCUAAUCCUUGGUACCAAUUUCCUGGCCGCUCUAGGAAUUUCAUGCGUGCACGUGGUAGAUUGGUUAUAUCAGAAGGUGAAGCUGUGAUUGUUUGGGAGACUAAGGAAGCUGAAAAUCUCUCUCAGGAAAUUGUAAAGAAGCAAGCUGAAAUUGAGUCUUCAGGGGCCAUUUUGGUCAGGGAUAAAGAUGUGCUCACACAGACCUUGGGACAACCAGAACAGACAGGGCGCAUCCGUGGUAUGUCUAGUUCGUUUGGUUGGUAGUUUUGGCCGCUUUGCACCGACAUGUACAGAAAGAGGAAGCGUUCAAAUGAUGUCAAUGUGGAAGCCAUUAAAGAAGAAAUGGCACUUGAAAUUAUCGAGAAGGUCACCGAGAAGAUUACUGAGAAGGUCACAAAUGAUAUCAUGGCCAGGCUACGUGCACAAGGAGUGCAUUUGAGCUUGCUUUCCAACACCCCUUCCUCUGCAGGUGGUAACAACAGCAGCAGCUUUGCCUCAGCCUCAGAUGCAGUUUGCGAUGUACAGUUGGACAGAAUUGGUGGAAUUUUAGGACAACAAGUUUGGCAGUCAUCUUGUACACUAGUACUCAUCAACCAUGAAGGUUAUCAGGUGGAGGUAGCAACGGGUCGUGUAUUUCCAAACAAUUUUCUGCUAGAUUCAGUUCCAGUAGCGAAGGGAUAUGUCAUUGUACAUAUUGAUUCUGUAGAAUCGGAAUAUGAGGGUCAUGUGCUGCUUCCGCACCCAAGCAAUGAGAUAAGAACUCUUGGAGACGCUCUGUACAAAAGGAUUCAGUGGAAGAGGGAAUGGGUUGUGGUACAUCGUGCGUUCUCUUCCAUGUCUCCUCCAUCACCUGGGUCAGUCAAAAGCAGAAAGGUCUUUGUGGAACCCAACGUUUCACCCUCACUAUAUGAAGCGAAUGACUCUAAUGUACGGAACUGUGCUUCCAUGGCGCAUAUGGUAGGCAAAAAACAAAAGAAACUCAGAAACACCAAGCCUCCAACUGCACCUUGGCUUUCCCCUAGUUCAGAACAACAAGUUAUGGAUUCAGCCUGUACACUGGUAAUCAUCAACUGUGGAGGUUAUCAGGUCGAGGUAGCAACGGGUACGGUAUAUCCAAACAAUACUGAGCUAUAUAGGGUUCCAGUAGAGGAGGGUUAUGUCAUUGUACAUAUUGAUUUUGUAUGUCCAAAAUAUGAAGGCCAUGUGCUGCUUCUGUGGCAAAGCAAGGAGAUAAGAACUCUUGGAGACGCUUUGUACAAAAGGAUCAAGUGGAAGAGAGAAUGGGUUGUGGUAACACCGCGGUCCUCUUCUAUCUUAGCUAAACUUCCAACACCUGGGUCAGCUAAAAGCAAUCUAAAUGUCCUUUUGGAACCCAAAGUGUCACCCUCAUUGAAUGGGAAAGCGAAUGACACUACUAUACAAAAUUGUGCUUCCUUGGCACAUGUGGUAGGCAACAAAGAAAAUAAGCUCAUAAACACAAAGCCUCCAAUUGCACCUUGCCGACCCCCUAAAGUAGGCAAGGGUGUUGAGAAUGUGGUUGACAAGCUAAAGCAGCAGGGGCGACCCAGUGGUGACACCAAACUGGUUCAGAAGGUGGUUCACAAGCAGAAGCAGCAUGGAGGUCAGGAGGUGGUUGAGAAGCAGCAGGUGGCACAACAUACCAAAUCGUCUAAACUCGCUCAUGUUUGGUUUCAGUCGAACCCUGACUUCCUAUUUGGACAACCAAUGGUACCAGAAACAGAACUUGAUGGGCCUAGAUGUGUUGCUCUUCAUGCUCACUACAUGAACGCAUGUGCACAGAACAGGAGGUCCCCGUUUUUUGCUAUGGUCAGGAGCGAGCAUUUUUUGCUUGAAACAAAAACUAUGGAAUUCCCUGUGGGAUUUGAAGAUAUUUUUGACCUCUUCACACUAGAUGCAUUGGAAAUGUCCAUUCUUCGUUGCGUGACGUUGUAAGUACAAUUUCUUAUAUUUCAGACUUGUCCAUUUCUAGCUAGGGAUGUUCUUCAUAUAUUUCCUUGCUAAAUUGCUUUUCUAUCCUUCUUCAUUCCUAGAUGCCUGAUUGUAGAAGCUAGGGACACUUCGGUUCCAGUUGGGCUUCUUGAUCCAUAUGCAUUGUCGGUAGAAAACUUGACUAGGUCUAGAGAUUUUAGUGUGCAAUAUCUGGAAAAAGGUCUAAGGAAACAUGCCAAGAAAGAGUAUGUGAUGUUUCCGUAUAACACUGGUGAUCAUUGGAUUGCUGUUAUCAUCAUUCCCAAGUGGCUGAAGGUGCUGUACAUAGACUCCAAUAAAGGCCGCAAGACAGACUUGAGUGGGUUGAAAUCUGUGAUAGAUGAGUGAGUGUUUUGUAUCUUGCUACUAUUGACACGUGCUUUUCUAAAUUAUGUUAUUCAUUCAUAGUAAAAAAUUGUGGCAACUAAAUUCUGUGUAGGGCUUUUCGCAAUUGCCAAACCAAAGCAAGGAAGAAGCCCAAAAUUGUGAAGUUGACCCAUGUGCCCAAAACUCCAGUAAGUAUAGUUGCUUCACUUCCAAUUCCUAAUGUGAUUUCAAUACCACUAUGAACCGUGCGUAUGUGAUCUGUUCGUAGUGCCUGCAGCAACCUCUAGACAACACAUGUGGGUUCUGUGCGUCCUACAGCAUGAUUCUUGCGAUGCGACAGACCAAAUUGGAUGAUCCUAAGGUACUUAUGGCCAGUGUUUUUGCUGUUGGCAGCUAGCGUUGAUUGGCCCUUUUUUCCGUACAAGUUUUAGUUUUUUUGUUUUGUUGGUAGCUAGGAUUAGUAAAUGUGAGGGGCAACAUUAGUUCUCAUUAUCCAUGUCUAUGUUUCUGUUCUCAUAGUACAAUACCCUUGUCAAACUUAAUUCUUUUUAAAAGUCAAGCAAUCAUUUGCCUAAACAUUAGCAAUCUGAUUUGAAAAAACAAAGAUCUAACCUAUAUGUGUGAGCGUACAUGAAGCAAAAGAUGACGGGUGCAAUAAACAUUCUGGAACCCUAUCCCUUCAUCUCCUCUUCGAUAUAAAUGAAAAUAAUAUAGUGUAUUUGUUGCAUUACAUUACAUUUCUGUCAACGGUGGUGCAGUUCCUGCAGCUUAUCUACCACUAUAUAUAGGAGUUUCCCCCUCCAACCUGCUAUCUUUUUCAGAAUCGUAUCUACUAAAGGCUGAAUGUCCUCUCUGGUAAAGUGAUCAUAAUGGAGAGGGACACCCAAAUACUUAAUAGGAAAAUCACCUAAAGGACAAGAGAAAAUGUGAGAAAAACUAUGUGUUUCUUCUAUAUCUAAGUUGAGAGGUACUAUUUCACUUUUAUUGAAAUUAAUCCUCAUACUAGAGAUCUCCUCAUACCACAUCAAAACACAUUUUAGAUUUCUUAAAACAGAUUCCUCUGCUUUCGAAAACAAAAUUGUAUCAUCUGCAUAUUGUAGUGAUAUAAUCCCCCUGGUCUAAAGUCCUCUAAAAGACCUUUGAUGAAGCCUCUAUUAGAAGCCUUACUUAGCAAUUUGGAUAAGCCAUCACCAACUUAAUUAAAAAGAAAAGGAGACAAAUGAUCUUCUCAACCCUUUACCAGCUUUGAAGUAAGCACUAUACUCACCGUUGAGCAUGAUCUAGAACCUAACUACUUGUUUAACCCAACUAAUGAGCAUGGGGUUGAAAUUCCUAGCUCGUAGCAUCUCAAAGAGAAAAGUCCAGCUACCUUGGUCAUACGCUUUUUCAUAAUCUAAGUUGAGAAUGACCCCUUUUUUGUCCCAUUGUAUGAAUGAUCUGAACAAUUUCAUGAGCUAUCACCACACUUUGUAAAAUAUACCGACCUUUAAUGAACGCGGAUUGGUUUGGAGCUAUAAUUUUCUGCACAAUGGUACUGAAUCUACUAGUAAGAAUCUUGGAAAAAAUCAUAAAGCUACAAUUGAGCAAUCUAAUAGGUAUAAAUUGCUUCAUAUUUGAAGCAUCUCCUACUUUUGGGAUCAAGGUGACAAGAGCACAAUUUAAUCUAAACAAGUCAAGUUUACCUUUUUGGAAAUCAUCAAACAAAUGUACUAGAUCGUUUAACUAAAUUCCAAAACUUUUGGUAAAAAAGGAAAGGGAGUCCAUCAGGACCUGGAGCCCCUUCAGCAUAAUGCUUCUUUAUUUCUGCUUCCAGAAAAGGAGCUAACAAACUCUCAUUCUCCUCAGAAGGAACCAUAUCUUGGGGCUCCCCUAAAAAUUCUCAUCUAGCUUAACAAAGGAAUUGUUUUCCUUAGCAAACAACAUUUUAUAAAAAUCUACAGCUAUUUGCAUCAUUCCUUUUUGAUCAUAAACUAAACCAUUCGGACCUUGUAAACAUUUAACAUUUUUUUCUCCUACGUCUAUAAUUUGCUAUAGCCUGAAAGUAAGCUGUUUCUGUCACCCUCUAGUAGGGAUCUAUAUUCUAGAUCUCUGUCUAGCUUUAAUUUCCUCUAUGGCCUAGAUAUGUGAUAACUAUUCUUCUAUAUCUCUAUAUUCUAUCAUCUCUAUUGGUUCCAGACUUCUAGUCUCCAUAUAUAAUAUCCUCUAACUUCCUAAACUUCUCAGUAAGAGAGGCUUUAUUUCUAUUUAGGGUAGCUACCUCAUCCCAUCCUCUCACCAUUCUCCUGAGAGUUCUAACCUUGAACUGUGAUGCAACUACAAGUAGUUUGCCAAGCUUUUUGAUCUUUAUCUUGAAAUGAUUCUUAACUAUAUAUAUAUAUAUAUAUAGAGAGAGAGACAGGUUGGAGGAAGAAAUUUGUAUAUUCAGAUAGAUUGACAGGAUGGGAUAAACAAGAUAAUCAACUGACCUUAUAUUGUAUGGCAAGCACACACACACACACAUAUAUAUAUAUAUAUAGUACGUAGUCUAUAGCAGCAGAUGAUGUGCUCUUUGGCAUAACUGGAACUGGAAAUAUCAGAAAUAAAUAGUCAUAGAAACAAUAUAGCAAAAUGGCAUUUAUCAUGUGAGUCGAGUAUCCAUACAUCAGUUCAAAGUAAUAUAUUACACAUGUUGUGAAAAUCAGGAUUUUAGUUGUUUAUAAACCAACAUUGAUUGAAAGCUAGCAUCGAUCGUUGAAAGAAUAGGAAAGACAUAAGUUUUGGUUUGAAAGGGAAAUUAGGAUACUAGAAUUGAUAAUACCUCUGUUUUUUGGAUUAAUUAUAACAUUUCACUCUGAAUCAUUUCAAUUAUGAUUGCCGGUUAAUAUAAACUCUUAUACCUUUUCGAAUUAGCAUGGCAUAUAUAUUCAAUUUAUAUGGAUAUGUUUGACAUGUGAAAUGUUUGACAUAUCUAUAUUUUAAUAGUAAGCAUGGUCCUUGAGCUUUAAUUCUUCCUUACGAUCCGUUGUUUUACAGGACUUUGAUUUUAUGUCCACUCCAAUCAAUCAGAAUGAUAUUAGGGAGAGGAUCACCCUGUUCAUUGUGGAACAGAUCAUUGAUGAAAAUGGCGAGUUUCAUUGUAGUGUGAUCUUCCAAAAAAUAGGCGAUGAAGCUUAGAUGGAGAUAAAUAACACUCAUGAUGUGUUGGCACUUUGUAGUUGAGCACUUUAAGAUCGAGGCCAACAAGUGUGUUGGCCGUUAGUGCUGGUCAAUUAAUUUAAUUUGAACUAGCAUUUUGUGUGGAUCCUCUGUAACGUUACGUGAAUACUAAGUGAACAUGUUUGCGUUGUGUUUUAUCUGUUGUGUUUCAGUGCGUUAUUAUAAGAACUGCUGCUAUGGGUAAUUUCUGCCAUGUAGAAACAGCAUCUAAGCAUAGGCUAUCAUAUAUAUCUGCUUCUGCAGUACAACGUAAACCACAGACACUUGUCCCUGUUAUCACAGACGCGUGUUCUUUUCUUCACAGACGUGUAUUCGUCUUAGUAGAGACACUUGUUUACAUGGCGCGUCUAUGAAGAGCGCUAUUACAGACGCGCAAAGCGCGUCUGUAAUAGCGCUCUUCACAGACGCGUUACUUGAGACACGCGCGAACGCGUCUGUGAUGCAUGCCAACACGCGUCUGUAAACUUGUCUUUUGUCAUAGUGCAGGUGGCGUUCCUCCUAGGCUUACGCAGGAGGGGGCCUCCGGGUGGGGUAGCGACCCUCCGUCUGCCUAGCAGAUCGGAUCCGGGUGGAUGACAGCAGCGCGCCGCAGGUUGGACCGUCCUCGUGGCCUUUGUGGCCAGCUGGGAGCUCUUCACACCACGGUGGCGGCGGGUCGCAGGACGCGUGACUGACUAUGUGGUUCGUCUACUUUACAUGUUGGAUGCUCGAUUAGUACGAUUUGUUGGAUGAUGGACUUGUUGGACUCAUUUAUUAUGGUUUAUGUGUGCUAUAUAUGUGUAUUUGUGUGAUAUAUAUGUGGAUCUGUGUGAUCUAUGUGAAUUUCAGUAUAUAAUCAUAUUUGUGACGCAAAAUAAAAAAUAGGCCAAAAUUUUUUACUUAUUCCAGCUUUGCCACCUGCCACGUGGAAAGCAGGUGGCAAAGCUGGAAUCUCAUGAACAAUGAUAGCUUUGCCACCUGCCAAUAAAGACAGUCGGCAAAGAGCCCUUUGCCACCUGCCAAUAAAGGCAGUCGGCAAAGAGUCCUUUGCCACCUGCCAAUACAAAGGCAGUCGGCAAAGAAUUUCUGUUUUUAAAAAAAUUAAAAGAGCCUUUGCCACCUGCCAAUAAAGGCAGUCGGCAAAGAAAUUCUAUUAUAAAAAAAUAAGAAAAGCCUUUGCCGACUACCGCGUGACAGUCGGCAAACGGGAUGUCGCUCCGUCAUCUCACAACGGCGUACGUUCCCUUCGCCGACUGCCAUACUGGUAGGUGGCAAAGGCUUUGCCGACUGCUUUGCUCUUGGCAGGUGGCAAAGAUUUCUUUGCCGACGAAUUCUUUGCCACGUGUUCUUUGCCGACUACCACGUAUAAAGCAGUCGACAAAGCCUUUGCCACCUGUUUUAGGGCCUUUGCCGACUGCUCAAAGAAAGGAAUUCCAGUAGUGUGUGCGUGCGUUGUGAGUGUCUGCGUUAUACUGUGUAAUUCUAAAAAAAUAUGAUCAAGAUUUUGUUGUGUUUGGAGACUAACUUUAGCAUGAGUGUGGUGUUGUGCAAUAUGUCUCUUGGCUUGUGGUGUGCAUGUGUGGAGCACUGAGACGGUCGAUGGCAAUGGAGAAGGUCAAGAGAGUUCAUGCCGAUGAUAUGGAAGCGGUGAAGGACAGAAGUGGAGGGUAGAGGCCUAAGGGAUCGAGGACCAAUGCACUGAUUGUGGAUGGCUGACUUGGAGACAUCGACGAACAAGGUUACAUGUGGAGGUGUGGAUCAUGUUGACCAAGUCAAGCAGAGGCGUGAAGGACUUGGUCAUCAGACGGUCGAGUACAUGGUGGUUACAUGCGUCGAGAUCAUGGAGGGAGUGUAGCGGAUACGCUACUCCAACUGGGUUUGUUGGUUUCGUCCACAAAACUGCAGCCGGAGAGUUUACCGGAUUUGGGCCUCAGAAACCAAGACGAGAGUUUGGAGUGGCAUGUGACAUCAUCAGGCAAUUAGCGUCGAGGCAGAGCUAUCUCAUAAAGAGCUUGUGGAUGUCGGAUGCAUGGAUCUCUACUUAGACCAUUUUGCCCCUAGCAUCAAGUGAUUGUCAGAAAUAUGGGCCAGGGGUACUUGCAUGCACCACCCGUAUAUACGACCAUGUCCAGCUAUCGGGUUAGAAGUUAAGGAAGAGGCCCACGAGGGUCCAGGUGGUUGACCAACGUGAAGAUCAAGGCACGUCAAGAAUAUUCUAGAUAGGCAUAUCUAGACGAUAGCAUAGAAUAAAUCUGUAGCACAUGCUAUAUAUGUAACAAACUGGGAAUCCAAUUUGUUAAGCCCAUUGCCCUCAUUAUAACCCUACCCCUCUACAUAUAUAUAUAAAGGAGGGUAGGUACGUCAUCUCAUUCUAAUCUAUUAUGUAGCUAGGAACAACAACCCCUGUAACCGAGCAUAGGAAUACAAGAAGACUAGAAGCAGCACUGGACUAAGCUUUUAUGCACACCAUGGCCUGAGGUUUUUACCUGUAUGCUAUUACGAAAGAUUGAUCAAACCAGGAAGCCACUAAAAAGUUGAUUCGCACCGUUGUGCCCAACUUCAUCUUCGGCUAUACCCGUGUGCCAUUCCGUCCAUUUUUAAGCCUAACGGCAGUUAAGUGGCCUGACAAUAGACUUGAAUACCCCUGAACUAUUUGGUCUCGACAAAAAAAAAAAAUUCUUGUCCCCAAUGGCACUGGCUACCUUCCUUCCUUCUUCUUCGCAUUCUCGCGGCUUAGUCACCGAGCCCGUCGCUGCAGGUGGUGGAGCUGGAGGAGCAGCUCCGGACGAUGACGGCGCAGCGGCGCAAGGCGGAGCGGGCGGCCGCGGAGGUGCUCGCCUAGGGCUUCGGCCCCCUGUCCUUCUCCGACGCCGGGAACGACUCAGGCUCAGAGGACGAGGUCGGCACGGGCGACUGCGACCCCGAUGCCGCCGAGAGGGACGGGGGCGGCGGGAAUGCGGGACUGGGACGCCGCGAGCCAGCGCGGGAGUACCUCGCCGUGGCCGCCUGCCUCGCGGGCGCGCCGGGCCCGCGCGCCGAUGCCGCGCUGCAGGCCACCAUGGCACGGCUCAAGGACGAGUUCGGGGGCUGCGCCGAGUUCAUCCUCCCCGACGGCAGGGGCCUCUCCCUGCCGGGGCUGCUCCGCACCUACGACGACGGCGCCGGAGACGUCGUCCGUGACUUCCUCGCGCUCUGCUGUCGGUCAGCUCCCGCGCCGCUCGAGCUCGUCCGUAUCGGGAUCCCCCACGGCGGCUCCGGCAGCAGCCGCGACCGCGAGUAGAAUCAGCGCCGCCGCGCGGAUCCCCGGGGCCCACCGCCCCCGCCCCCUGCCCCAUCCCGCACACACGACCGCCGCACCAAGCGCGAGCGCGGAGAAGAUGAGCGAGCCCAUGGACGUGAGGAAGACGACGAACGCGGACGCGGCGACAAGGCCACCGUGUACGUGCACGCGUGCUGCGCCAGCGCCGCGGCGGCGGCAUCGUCGGGCUCGGACGCCUCGCCGCCGCCGCCGUAGCUGCUUCCCGCGGGAGCGGAUGGGACGAGGCAGGGAGGUAGAGGUGGAGGACGGCGAGCGCCAGCACGGCGACGCGCUGCGUUGGUACGCUGCGGGAGGCCAUGGGCAGUUGACCGAAUUGCGAGCGAGGCCGGACUGGGCAAGCGGAGAGGGAGAGGCGGAGAGAGAUGGUGGUUGGUUGCUCUUGCUCCAGAUUUUCAACUCUCCAAGUGGGCAGCAAGCAGCAGCUCAAGCCUCAAGGUGAGCAGCGUGGAGAUGCCAUGUCACCUGAUCUGAUGCUUUUUUCCCCCUUUUGGAUGGAAAAACACAUCUGAAACUGGCGUACUGCCACUGAUGACUAUGAAGAAAACAACUCUGAAACUCGUGGAUCAUGGAGAACCACUUGAGCAAAUUGGCGCGAGUGAAAACAGGGCAGAGCGACUGGAAGGGCAAUAAGGACAUUGUGUUAUCCGGGACCCACAUGUCAGACCCUGUAAACGGAAGAAAAUGAACGGAAUGAGGACGGAAUGGCACACGGGUAUAGCCGAAGAUGAAGUUGGACAUAGCGGUGCGAAACAACUUUUUAGUGGCUUCUUGGUUUGGUCGAUUUUUCAUAAUGGCAUACAGGUAAAAGUCUCCCGGUAUGUAUCCUGAUAUAUCAUGUGGUACCAUCUGAUUCCAUCUAUGCGAUCAUGUUGCUCGGCAUUGCCGGAGCUAAACCAUCUAAUAAUGAUUCAACAAAAAUAUCUCAGGGCAGUUUUUGAAUGUGUAAUAGCCUCUAUAAAUAAGAGCAGAGGCUGUCCAAACUAGCCAUCUCUUCCGGUGCUUUCGUUUGAUUCUCUAGGUGCUAGGCUAGUAGUGUUUCCUAUAGUCUGUGCUGUGAGAGAGAUUCGUAGAUGAGGGAUUGAGUCCUCUGUUUGUGUUACAUUGUAAGACCGGGUAUUGUUCAUGUUGAUCUUGUGGAAAUAAAGAAGUUGUCCUAAAAAAUCAAAGUCCCAAGAUCUCUUGCAUUGAAUCGUUUUGGUUUUUACACUUCUUGAACCCCUCUCUAUGCUCCUUGGUGGUUUCUUUGAAUCUCAGCUGCUGAGUUCAUUUUGGCUAGAUCUAUAUGUAUUGAGACCCUCAGGAACAUGUCUACCACUAUGGGACAUUGAUGCUUUGUCGAGUGUAUGUGGCACUCGGUAAUAAAGGCCCAAAUAGCCGAGUGCCACACUGGGCAAUGGCCAUAUGGUGAAUUUUUGGUCGGCAAAAGGGGUCUUUGCCGAGUGUUAUUUUUGGGACAUUCGACAAAGCUAUAAAAGAAAAAACUCAAAAAAAUAGGAAUCUUAGGCCCCUAACCUGGUCUUUGUCAAAGUCCCAAGUCAUGAUAUUUUUCGUGCAGAAUUCAAGGCUACGCUGCGAGUGGGAUUUGGCAGAGGCCCAAAUACACUCAGUAAAGCCUUUGCCAAAUGCCACACUGGGCAAAGGCCACAUGGUGAAUUUUUGAUCGGCAAAGGGGUCUUUGCCGAGUGUUAUUUUUGGGACACUGGGCAAAGAUAUAAACAAAAAAACUCGAAAAAAUAGGAUUUUUUUGCAGGGGAGGCCCCCAACCUGGUCUCCGUCGAAGUCCCAAGUCAUGGUAUUUUUCAUGCAGAAUUCAAGAUCUCCCUCUCCCGCAUCUCCCUCUCUAACCACUACAUCACACUGUCACUUAUGUUUAUAUAGCAUUUCGGUUCCUCAUAUACUACCAAAUUACAUGUAAAUUGAAUGUUCGAAGCCCUAAAUGAUUUCAAAAUAAAAGGUUGUCAAUUAUAAAGUUUAAUUUAGGGAGUUUCUCCAUCGAGGUCUUCUGAAUUUCAGAUUUGAGAAAUUCAAAUGUAGUUUUUGCAUGACAAGAUGAUUUCAAAUCAAAAAGUUAUCAACUACAAAGUUUCAUAGCUUUUUGAGAUCUACAAAGUUUAUUUAGGGAGUUUUCUUAUUCGAGGUCCUUUGAAAAAUUUAAAAUUAAAACUUUUAAAUAAAGACACAGUUUCGCAUGAAAAGAUGAACUCAAAUAAAAAAUAUGCAAAAUAAAAAAUUCUAUAACUUCUCAAGAUCUACAAAGUUUGUUUGGUUGUUUGAUCAUUUGUUCAUUCAACUUGGUGAUUCUAACAUUUUUUACUAGUCCUAUAUAUAUCUCUUGUAGUUUCAUAAACUAUAAGAGAGAGAAAAUUUGUGACAAAUUUAUUUUUAGUUUGUCAAAUGAAGAAAUAACCAAAAUAAAGGCUAUAGAUCUUGAGAAGUUAUACAACUUUGUUGUUGAAACCUUUUUGAUUUGAAUUCGUUUAGGGCUUCAAAUUUGAUUUGAAAUUUUCUUUGUCGAAUGUUUUUUUUUGACACUUGGCAAAGAUCGAGUGUAAAAAAAACACUUGGCAAAGAGGCUUCUUUGCCGAGUGUCAAAAUAAAACACUUGGCAAACCAUUUGACAUUCGGCGAAGAGCCAAAUUCUGGUAGUGUACCAACCAAAUUUGAGGAUUUUUUACGAAAUUUGAGAAAACCCCAAUCAAGGAGAGAGAUUUUUCUUCUGCAUUGAUCCUCUGGCUUUUGGAGUUGAUCUUUUGUGGAUAGUUCAUAAACAUCCUUAGGAACAUCUCCACAAAAUUUGAGCUCAAUCGGAUUUAAUUUGAAUAGUUUUCACCUUUUUGGAGUUUGGGUUUGGGCUGCUAGACUACCAAAGUGGACCAGGCCGACCUAGCUAGCUUCCAGGCUUGGCCGGGUUUGCAUCAUGGCUAGGCCAGGUUUGCCUGGGAAGAGGACCCCUCCGCAGUGAUUUUUAGUUCAGGUGUCGGUUCUUCGAUCCGUUUCUUCCAUGAGGUUUUCGAGGUGUCAUGGAAUGUUCUGAAAUCAUCAAGUCACCGGUUGGCUUGUUUGAAUUCACCUUGAGCACUUGCUUCGGUUCAGUGGUGCUUGAGAGCUUUGCGUUUGCGUUUUAGUGUACACUUCAGUUCUUGUUUGUUCGCUUUGGUGUGUGUCCAUUAUAUUCUCUAGUUAUCCUGUAGGGCAUAUAGUUACCUGUUGACUAAAGGGCAUCUCCGUUGUUGGUUUUGGUGAGGGUUGUUUUGGGACAUACGACCAUUUCGGAAGAAAUUUUAAUCAGCUCCAGUUCACCCCCUCUGGCAGCCUUUCUCAGUGCUUCAGACUUUCAGAGAGAAAUUAAGGAGGCCCAGUAAAGAAAUUUUGGCAUGACUUACGUAAGUGGUGACGCUGGGUAAAAAUAUUUUUACUUAUGUUUCAAGACUUGUGUGGUUUUCGGGUAAGAAAAGAUGUGGAAGUUUGAAACUUAAGAAAAAAAAGCACCCAGCUUUAUCACAAAAAGAAAAGCACACUCUGCUUAGUUAGCUAGAGGGACAAAAACUACAUGGAAUUUUCAUGGAAAACAUGGUCAUAAAGCCGUCGACAUACCUGAUAGCUCACAAGAGAAAUGACUCGGCCCUUGCUGAUGUCUGUCUAUAAAACUGUACGAGGAGACUGCAUUGCUGAACUGAAUCGGCAGUAGUAUAUACCAGACGAUUAAGCAAGCUAAUUAAGCGUUCCCGGACAACCAUCCCUUUGGUAGAGGAAAUGGCCGGCAGCAGCGAGGAAAAGGUGGCGCUGGUGGUGCAGAACAAGAAGGUGGUGCUGAGGAGCCAUGUCACCGGAUUCCCCAACGAAGACGACAUGGAGAUCAUGGUGGACACUACCAAGCUGUGCGUGCCGGCGGGGAUGACCGCUGUGCUGAUCAAGAACCUCUACCUGUCCUGCGACCCAUGGAUGCGCUUCCGCAUGAGUAAACACGAGGAUGGUGGCCUGCCUCCGGCGUUUGUCAUUGGCGAGGUAGGAAAAAUCAUAAUCUUUCCAACAAAAACUUGUAUGGGACAUGACAUGGAGAAAUUUUUCUGAUAUUGAUCUGUCAGGCUUUGGUCAAUUUCACUGUGGGCAAAGUGGUGGACUCAACGCACCCGGAGUUCAACGCCGGCGACCUCGUUUGGGGGAUGAGUGCAUGGGAGGAGUACACCCUCGUCACCCAGCCGGAGUCCCUGCACAAGAUCAACCACACUGAACUGCCGCUCUCCUACUACACGGGCGUUCUUGGUCAGCGCUAUCAUCAUGCACUAAUCUAUCUUGCAGUACUUUCCAUGCAUGUUAGCUAACCCAUUGUUAACUAUACCAUCCAGGCAUGCCUGGGCUCACUGCAUACGCCUGCUUUUUCGAGGUCGGCAAGCCGAAGAAGGGCGAUUUCGUGUUCGUCUCAGCGGCGUCAGGAGCCGUUGGGCAACUCGUCGGGCAGCUGGCAAAGAUCGCCGGCUGCUACGUGGUCGGCAGCGCUGGCUCCGACGAGAAGGUCAGUCUACUGAAGGCCAAGUUCGGCUACGACGACGCCUUCAACUACAAGAUGGAGACGGACCUCGGCGCCGCGCUGAAGCGGUGCCUUCCCGGCGGCAUCGACAUCUACUUCGACAACGUCGGCGGCGCGACUCUGGACGCCGCGCUGUUGCAGAUGCGCCCCGGCGGCAGGGUCGCCGUCUGCGGCAUGAUCUCGCAGUACAAUUUGGUGGAGCCGUACGGCCUGCGCAACCUGUUCUGCAUCAUGCCGAAGGCCAUCAGGGUGGAGGGGUUCUACUUUACAUUCUACAUGCAUGUGUACGCAAGGUUCGAGGAGGAGAUGGCUGGGUACAUCAAGGAUGGGAAGGUCACCGUCGUCGAGGACGUCGUCGAGGGCAUUGACAGCGCACCGGCCGCUCUAAUCGGGUUGUUCUCGGGCAAGAAUGUAGGGAAGCAGUUGGUUGCCAUUGCAAGGGCAUGAGUUGAAGCAUGAACUCCGUAGUGGUGACGAGCUGAGAAAAUUAACAAGUGUUGUGCUACUUGUGUGAUGCCUCUCAUACCGGUUCCUGUGUUUAAAUGAGAGGGCACUGUUAUUGUAUUGGAAUAAAAAAAGCAUAUUUAUAAUUUGCUUUUCAUCAAUGCAUUCUUACUAAAAUGAAUGCUAAUGCGCUUUUAUUUGCAGAUUUCGAUAUGAUAAACUAGGUGAUGUCCUCGUGCGUUGUUGUAAGAUCUAAAAUGUUGUUUAAGAUUAAUUAUCUAUAUCUUGUACUAAAACUUGAGGACUAGUUGAAAAAUGACACCUACACGAUCUCUACUAUAGUGAAACCGUUAAAUUAUACUUUCUUUUUUGAACAAGCAGGGGCUUACGCCCUUACUGAAAUUUAUUAAAAGAACCAAAAGGAGAGGAUCCAAACAAGAGAGAGUAACAGGGAGUACAAGAGAAAUGGAAGGAUUCACGAGACAAAAAAAAGAAACAAAGAAAAUAAACAAGAUUACACAAACUGCUCUAGCCAUAAACUAAUAUGGGGCAGGUAUCUCUUCUUUGCGCGAAGCACAACUAAGCCUUUGACAUUUUUGAAGAUAUGCUUGCAGUGCUGCACACUCGCCUCCUGACCUCUGAAGAUCAAGUUGUUUCUCAUUGACCAAAUGCUCUAGCACAUAAGAACAACAAUAAUUUCCAUGAAGAAGGGCAUAUUGAGUUGCCUUCUGAAAUCCUCCAAAACUUGAAACGGCCCUUGAGAUUGGGGAACUACCAGUCCAAAUCAAAUUCCAAUAUUCCUUUGCAUGUCAUAAUGCAAAAAUAAAUGACCAAAUGUUUCCUUAACCAAGUUUUCACAUUGGACACAAUUGUAAGACUGCAGAAACAUGUUUUUUCUUCUCAGGAUUUUCCUAGUACUAAGCCUGUCCUAUGCCAAAAGCCAUAAAAAGACCUUGUGUUUGUGUUGGCAGGCUGAUUUCCAAAUCCAAAUGAAAAUUGGGUGCACCGGCACUGAACCUGAGAGUUGUUUGUAGGCCUUCGCACAUGAGAAGGCUUGGCUGCCCUAGAUCUAGGACCAGGUGUCGUUGACUGUAGUGGGAUUAAAGUUAUUCGAUGUAUCCUCCAACUGAAUCAAUUGUUGAUAGGCUUAGCAAGUGAAAGCUUUCAAUUAAAGGCUCACUAGCUUUGGCUGCUGCAACUGUCCAAAUUGGUUUCUUAGUGAAGGAGUAUAACUCAGAAAAUGCAAUUUUUGGAACCUGUCCCAGCCACAGGUCCUCCCAGAGAAGGCAUGACUCACCAUAUUGAAUGGAAAUCGUGGCCAUGCCCUUGAACUUGUCCAAGAGUUUAAGGACAUCUUUCCAACAAAAAGAACCCUUCCUUGUAUGAUUAGGCAGCUUGCCAUUACUGUAGUACUUUUCCCAGAUCAGGUGUACCCAAGGGAGAUAGCUUAUUGAAGAAUUUGUGCAAAUUCUUAAUAAGCAAAGCCUCAUUCUGAGUUUGCAGAUCAAGAACUCCUAACCCUUCCUUAGAUUUUGGCCUCAUUCCGCAAGGUUGAAGCUGAUUGACUUCUGCCCCCUAUGGCAGGUGGGCCCCACCUUUUAGGUGGUGUCUUCCGGAGUCUUCUAGAGUAUUCAGGAGUUGACGUUCAGGUCUUCUCUCUAUAUAAAUCUUACAUGUGGACCUCCUUUUGUUAUUAUUCUAGUAACCUCCUGCAGAAACAGAUAUUCACCAAAACUGGUAGAAAUUGUUAGUAAAAACUCUAAGUCUAUGGUGAUGUUUAGUUUUUAUCCCCUUUCUUCUCCUUAGUUGACAUAUAAUUUUGAUGGUUAACAACCGUCAACAGUAUACCACUCGGUGACAUAUAUACUCUCAUUUGACAGAGCCGUGAGGGAGUAACGUCUAUACUCUAAUGGAUGGCGAGGGGUACGAGAAGCCAGCGCUCCAGCAAUAAAUUUGCACGGGUAGCGAGUAGCUGUGGGGGUAUAAACCCCUAUACCCUUACGGUCAGACUUGGGCCAGGAGGCUUGGCCUAUUAUGAGACAAGUUCGAAGUUUGAUCCGACUCCUCAGAGUUUCGCGCAAGGAAACAAGACGUGGAGAUCAAGCAGGAUUCUAGUCGGUUAGAAUAGGAAUUGAUAUCGAACUAUUUAUGGCAAUUGUAACCGACUAGGAUUAGUUUCUAGAUUUGUAACCCUGCCCUCCGGACUAUAUAAGGAGGGGCAAGGGACCCCCUAGGACACAUUAUUCUCUCAAGUCAAUCCAAUACAAUCAGACGCAGGACGUAGAUAUUACGCCCACACGGCGGCCGAACCUGAAUAAAAACUUUAUUUGUGUCUUGCGUCACCAUCAAGUUCGUAGCUUGCGCACCGUCUACCGAUAAACUACUACUGUGGGUAUACCCCAAGGUAGACUGCCGACUAGCUUUCGUCGACAGUGGCGCGCCAGGUAGGGGGUGUGCGUACAGCUCUCGACGAACAAGAUGGCCAUCAUCUCCGACUUCGCGGCCAUGGCGGGCGACUUCACGUUCACCGUCAGCUUCAAUAGCUUCACCGCCACGACCACGGAGGAGGCGCAGAUCCGAUCUGCGCCAAUCACUUCUUCAUCGACGUCGGUCGCGACUCCAACCACGCUGGCUACGACUCCGACUACUCCAGCAACGUUUCCGACCACGCCGACAACGCGUCAUCCGCUUUCCUGCUACAAAGGGAGACAGAUCGACAACACCGACCUGCUCGUACCAUCGACCAAAUUGUUUGGCCUACUUGCUCUGACAACCAGUCGCAAUAAUAAUCGCCGCGAAGAAUGACGCUAUGACAACAGCGACCACCGUCAUGACAAGUCGAAAAGCUCGAGGGCCGAACAAUUUUGUCGUCACCGACUAGACUUUCUUUCAAAGAUAAGUACACUUCUAAUAUUUUAUUUAUUUUUGGCAUAAUAUUUUUAAUAUUAUUAUCCUUCAAAACAACUUUUUGGUUAGCCGACUAGUUUUUUCUCCUACACGAGCUUUCCAGAGCCGGUACUGUCUCCGACUCCUCCCUACACGUGCACGAGAUCUGCCCUCUGCGUUCCGGGUGGUCGGCAGUAGCUCUCUGACGUGGCUGACAAUCCUACGCGUACCUAAGUUCCGCACCUCAUGCUGAUUGUUGGCUAGACCAGAGCUGGUACAAGCUCUAGGAUGAAUUAACUACUCGUGCUAAUUUUAUAAUAAAAAAUCUAAAACUUAUCUUAGUGCUGAUUUUUUGUCUAGAGUUUAUUUAUACAUCAUGUACUACCUAUUUUCUCUAUAUUUAUUUUUCAGGAGUUUGGCCCAGUCGACAAGCUACGCUCGGGGACUCGUCGACUAUUCCCUACGCUGUGCCCAGGGACUGCUCCGACCACCGAGCACGUUUACGUUCCCAACCACGCUCGGGGACUUGUCGACUACUCUCUACGCUAUGCCCGAAGACUGUGCCGACCACCGAGCACGUUUAUGUUCCCAACCACGCUCCGGGACUUGUACCGACCACCGAGCAUUAUAUGCUUGGGGACUAGUCGACCAGCUCGCCCAUUUGAAACUCUGGAGACUGUACCGACCACCGAGCAUUAUAUGCUCGAGGACUGGUCGACCAGCCUGCCCAUUUGAAGUUCUGGGGACUGUAUUGACCACCGAGCAUGAUACGCUCGGGGACUGGUCGACCAGUUCUGCUCCAUCGUAGAUGAGUGCGAUAUGCUCGGGGACUGGUAAAUUUAAUUGUGUAACUUCCAGCUCGGUAAUUUUAAUUUUUUAGACCUUGCUACAAGGUUCAUACUUCGCCUUCCAGCAAGCUCGGGGACUACAUCGGUACGAUGCAUCUAGCGAUACAUGUUAGUAUCAGAAAUUUUAAGAUAAUUUUCUUUUUAGAUCCGGGCACCACGUGCCUACGUCACCUACUACCAGGCUCGGGGACUAAGUGGGCACACUUCACCUUGCGGUGAAUAUGCUUGCUUUUUUGAGGUCUAUACUUUUCAGAAAAGUAAAGUGGGCACACUUCACAAGGAAAGAAUUAUUUUUUCUCAAGAGCACCAUGCAUUCUUCGAACAGCCUACUUCUUCGAUGUCAGUGUUGAUCAACUAUCUUUUGAGUUGGUCAAAAUACCGUUUGAACUGUUUGGGCGACCUUCAUGCUAAUCGAAGAUUUUAAGCCUUGCUGAUCGAAGAAGCUCAAGACGGCGUGUUACAUCACAAUACACGGUGCUCGGGGACUAGCUGUGGGGGUAUAAACCCCUAUACCCUUACGGCCAGACUUGGGCUAGGAGGCUUGGCCCAUUACGAGACAAGUUCGAAGCUUGAUCCGACUGCUCAGAGUUUCGCGCAAGGAAACAAGAUGUGGAGAUCAAGCAGGAUUCUAGUCGGUUAGAAUAGAAAUUGAUAUCGAACUAUUUAUGGCAAUUGUAAUCGACUAGGAUUAGUUUCGAGAUUUGUAACCCUGCUCUGGACUAUAUAAGGAGGGGCAAGGGAACCCCCUAGGACACAUUAUUCUCUCAAGACAAUCCAAUACAAUCAGACGCGCAGGACGUAGGUAUUACGCCCACACGGCGGCCGAACCUGGAUAAAAACCUUGUCUAUGUCUUGCGUCACCAUCAAGUUCGUAGCUUGCGCACCGUCUACCGAUAAACUACUACCGUGGGUAUACCCCAAGGUAGACUGCCGACUAGCUUUCGUCGACAGUAGCAUGCGGAUUCGACGAGGCCAGCGCCUGGUAUCCGUGGACACCACAAAAAUCUAGUUGCGCCUAGUAUCCAUGGACGGAGGGAGUAUUCUAGAAUGUGAUUAAGGAUGAUAUGGUGGCAUUGUUCACAGAUUUCCAUAAGGGAGAAUUGCCUCUACACAGCCUAAACUUUAGAACAAUCAUUUUAAUACCAAAGUCUAAAAGAAGCUAAACAGAGACAACAAUAUAGACCUAUUUGUUUUUUGAAUGUUAGCUUCAAGAUUUUUAGUAAAGUGGCUACUAACCGAACUGUAAAGACACUUGAAUGCAGAAUUACCAUCUGAAAGGUCCUAAUAUGGCUAGAGGGGGGGUGAAUAGCCUAUUUAAGAAUUCUACAAACUCACUAGAGCAAGAGGUUAGUAAAUAACAAAGCGAAGCUUUUUGCUCUAGCUCUAAAGGGGUGUUUGCAAGCCACCUAUCCAAUAAUUCUAGUUGAUAUAAUCUCUAGGCACACAAGAGCUAUGUCACUACUUACACUAGAGAGCUACCUAAAGUUUCUAUACAAGUAAGACACUUAGUAUAGAGGUUAGUACUAGGGUUUCAUCAAUUAUCCAAAACCAAACUAGGGCUUUCACCAUCCCAAACAGCAUUCCUACCUAGGAGAAAUAUAAUGGAGGAUGCAGUUAUUUUACAUGAAAUAAACCAUACACGAGUUACAUAGAAGAAAACAUAAUGGAGUGAUCUUUUAGAUUGAUGUUGAUAAGGCAUAUAACAAAGUGUAUUAGAAUUUCUUACAAUAAGCACUAAGAGUGAAGGGUUUUCAUCUGGUGUGGUUUGAUUGGGUCAGGACUUUUGUUCAAGGUAGGAAUGUGGGCAUUAAAGUUAAUGACCAAUUGGGCUUAUAUUUUUAGACGAGGAAAGGUCUUAGACAAGGUAAUCCACUAUCACCAAUCCUUUUCAAUAUUGUUGUAGAUAUGCUAGCUAUCAUUUUAUGUAGAGCCAAGGAGGAAGGCCAAAUAAAAGGGGUUGUUACACAACUAGUGGAAAACAGUUCUAUCUUGCAAUAUGUAGAUGAAACGAUUCUAUUUUUCAAGAUAUUGAACAGGAAAAAAACUUGAAUCUUUUCUUGGUAUAUUUGAACAAUAAUCAGGUCUGAAAAUCAACUUCCAUAAAAGUGAAUUAUUUGGCUGCAAAAUGGGAUCAUCCCUUUUCGAUAUUUGGGCCUUCCUAUGCAUUAUAGGAAGCUAAAUAAUGAGGAUUGGAAAUUAACUGAUGAAAGAAUUAAAAAAAGUUAAGCGGGUGGAAAGGAAAACAUUUAUCAUAUGAGGUAGAUUAGUGAUGAAUAAUUCUUUGUCAAGCUUACCUAUGUUCAUGAUGUGUUUCUUUUAAGUCCCGAGAGGUGUUCUAAAAAAGAUUGAAUAUGUUGUGCCAACCAAAAGAGCAAAAUAAUGAGCACAAAAAGAAAUAUAGACUGGCAAACUAGAAUAUUUCUUUCGCAAACAAAAGAUUAGGAAUUCAAAAUCUAGAUUUACAAAAUAAGUGUCUUUUGAGCAAAUGGCUUUUCAAACUUUGCAAUGAGGAUGGCACUUGGCAGAAGUAAUAAGAAACAAGUACUCCCUCCAUAUCGGAUCUAGAAGUUGCUUUGGACAAGGUUUGGGUCAAAAAUUGGGAAUAUAAAUCAUCAAUAACUUUUAAAUUAUUGAGUUUACAAAUGUGAAACUUAUAUGAAAAGAUUUGUCUUGAAAAAUAGUUUCAUAAAAGUAUACAUAUAUCAUUUUUUUCUAAAUAUUUUUAUAAAAAUAAGUUGUCAAAGUUGUGUUUUGAAGACCCUGUCACUGUCCUAACGACUUCUAGAUCCGAUACGAAGGGAGUACCUAAAGAACAAGGCUCUAAGUCAAAUUGAAAAAAACAACGAGCUUUCUCAUUAUUGGAAUGGUUUGUUGGAAGUCAAAGACAUUUUCUUAAGUCUUGAGAAGUUUAAACUAGACAGUGGAACUCAAAUUAGAUUUUGGAAGAUAAAUGGUUGGGCACCCAACCCAUGAAAAUCCAAUACCUAAAUUUAUUUAAUAUAGUGCAUAAGAAACAUGGAACAGUGGCUGAUGUACCUAAUUCCGCCCCUCUCAAUGUGUCUUUUAGAAGCGCACUGGAUAGGAACAAGUUGUUGGAAUGGCAAAGUCUAGUUGCAAGAGUUCCUUUUAUUAACGUAAAUGAGUGUCAGGAUACUUUCGUCUAUAUCUUAAAUAAUAACUAGGUGAAUUCUCCGCGCGUUGCUGUGAGAUUUUUUUAAAAAAUAAAUUAUUAUAUACAUAGCAUUACUAUAUGGUAUUCAGUCUAUUAUGUAUGUAUACAUAUGAAUUUGACUUGCAUGUAUUUUAUUGUAUUAGAUCUAGUAAAAAAUUGCUAAGCUAAUAGAACAAAAACUAAUAUUUAGUUACAUUAUAGAGAAAUUAAUUGGUGACGAAACAAAUAGUAUAUGUACAUGACUUGUAUGUUAAUAGAUUAAAGAUUUAAAGUAUUUCAUAUGAUAUAGAUGACAUGGUCAUUUUUCAUAAUUAAUAUGGGAUGACAUGGAUAUAGUGGGGAAUGAUGUGGACACCUUGCAUGAAGAAAUAGAAUAUUUGGUGGGUCACUUAGUGGGGAAUGAUGUAGACACCUUGCAUGAAGAGAGAAUCCAUCUAGUGGGGUUUAGCUUUAUAAGAGUUAUAGAUGACUUGUUUUCUAUUAAAUCCAUGUAAAAGACCUAGUGAAUAAUGGGAUUAAGGUUACCUAGGAAAUUUGGCAUAUGAAAGUGCCCUUGAAGAUUAAGAUUUUUCUUUGGCUCUUAAAAAAGGGGUGGUACUGACAAAAGACAACCUUGAUAAAAGGAAUUGAAAUGGGAGUAAGACUUGUUGUUUUUGUAGCACACCCAAAACUUUUCAACACUUGUUUUUUGAUUGCCAUUAUGCCAGAUUUCUUUGGAGUGUUGUGUUUGUUUUGUUCAGUAUUAUUCCUCCAAUGAACAUGAACCAUCUUUUCAAUAGUUGGUCAGCACUAGGAGGUUCUAAUUAAUCAUAAUCAUCUUUUAUUGGCUGGGGCAGUGGUGUUUUGCUGGGAAAUAUGGAUCACAAGGAAUGAUGUGGUUUUUGACAAAGGUUCUUUGCAGGGGGACACACUGUGAAAGGUCAUUUUUGGUUUUGAUAAUUCAGUGACAACUUAGGUGGACUAAUAGUGUUUAUGUGAGAUACACAGAAGAUUAGUCCAUAGAUGAAUAUGUGAUGAUGAAGAAGCUCAUUGCAUAUGAGACAUGACAUGGGGUCAUGUGACCAAGGUGGAGAAGAUCAAGAUGAGGCUUGGUUUGAUGGACCGGUUGCAAAUGUGAAGGACAAGUUGGAGUCUUUGAAGCGAGGGACCACGUGUGACGGUGAAGCUUGAGCAAGACUUGGCACCGAUAGACCGAAGCAACGGUGAAGAGCAAGUGAGCUCAAGAUCGAUGAACCAAUAUAGUCAUAUGAUGAUAUGAAGUGGAUCAUAUCAUUUGGUGAUUGGUUGGUGCAUCUGUUGCAUCAACAUUGGAGGAGAUGGAAUGGAAAGUGCAAGGCAAAGGUAUAACCUAGGGCUUAUCCAUUCACCGGUCAUAGGUGUGUAGAGAAGUUUAUGGGCGAAUUUAGAAUAGAUGAUUGUACUAUCAAGAGGGACAAACUUGUUUGCAUAUCGGUCAUCUAGUGCUAUUUGAGCGAUCUAACUUUGUAUAUGUUUUAGGAUUGAGUGGCGUGGCAAGCUGAGAGGCUAACUCCAUUGGGAAAAUGUUUGUGAAAUGCUAACACACAUACAUAAUGAUGGUGGACACUUGGUGGUGUUAGCACAUGUACAAAGGAGGUGGAGUUCUUAGUGUAGACAGGGGUUUGGGUAGCGUUCAAUGAGGAGACGCCACGUUCAAUGUGGACCGUCAGAGCGUCUGAUGUGACUAUGUGUGGCGCUCGUGCAAGUUAGCCAUUGGUAGCAAUGGUCGAGUUCAAACGGCUAGUGACAUAUGACAGCACGGAGAGCGUCGGACGCUGGGGUCACGCAUCUGAUGCCUAUCGUCGGCGCGUCUGAUGCCCACACGUUUUGCCCAGUAAAGGGACAACGACUAGUUUAGCCAUUGGGGCUAUAAAUAGAAGUGGUGGUUGGUUUUGGCCGGUUGUUGUUGAUGGUCGAUAACGUCAAUAUUUAUUAGAACUUUAGACACAAGGGAACACAUGAAAACACAUUAGUCUAGGGUUUAAUCUGACAAUUUCCACGAGUUUUGCAUAUUCUGUAUUUUUUAGGGUUUAUUUCAUAGAGAGCUGAAAAGAGGGAUUCUAGUGCAUAUUUACCACGAAACUCAUUCGUGACAGAAAACAUCACGAGAAGACUCAGGAAGGGUCUAGAAGACACCCGAAGGAACGAGACCCGCAGAGGAAACAAGGUGGGGCUAGCUAGCCCCACCCUGGGGCUGGUCGGCGCCCUAUUUGAUCCGAUGCCCGCCGCCUUCUGGAGUCUUUCUCCUACGCCUCCUUGGAAGCCAAGCAAAGUAUCCCUCCAUCGAUUUUAAGUCGGUUUGAUCCGACGGUGCACACAAGAUGAAGACGCGGAUCGCUGACAUGGUGUUUCCUUGCCCCCUACUCCACCUCGGCCUAUAUAAUGACGCCCAAGGCUCCCCCUAAGAGGUAUUAUACACCCCGGUGCUUCAUAUUCUUUACAUAAUUAGGAGAGACUAGUUCUAGUUCAUCUAGUUCUAGUUCAUCUAGAUGUAGCAAUUAGGAGAGACUAGUUCUUCUAGAUCUAGUCUUGUUUAGAUAUUUGAGAGAUUGAGUAGAUGAGUAGAGAUUUUUGAAGAGUUCCAGCCUGUCGACGCUUCUUCAUGGCUAUAUUCGUCUGGAUCCAGUUCCCUCACCCGGAGCUAUGUUAUGAGGUACUUUUGUACUUAUCAUUCCGAUUUAAGUAAGCAACUUGUUCUUAUUCGUUCUUUGGUUCACAACUCAUAUUGAGUGCUUUGAUCUUGGUCAUUACUUGGUUAAAGUAGUAUAUCGUAGUGUAGGCGUGGUGCCUAGGCGAGGUUUACUUGUGGAUGUCCCCUGAUCAGCUGGACAGUGGUAGCUCGUGUAGGUGACUUUAUAGUUGCGUUGAUUAUUCUGUAGUCCACAUCCCGUUGAUAGUACCAAUAGGCUUAUAGGUGCCUGGUAGGAGAUUACUUUAUUUCUUCUCCUAUUCGGGUUACUUGCCCAAUAAGACGAUAUUAUACAAAGUUUACCGGAGUCAGAAUCAGAGUGCAUUAGCUAUUUCCUUUUUUAUGAUACGAUCUAGCCUAAUUGUAGGUUUAAGUCUAUAUACUUUGUCAUCAUCACAACUGUUCCCUGUGGAUACGAUAUUUAAAACCUUCGGGUAAAAUGUGACACUGGUAUGAUAUUUGUGCGCUUGCAGAUAAUCCUACUUAAAACUUAUUUACUGCAGUGCAGUUAAUUUAUACCAACAGUUGCUGAGCACAUCAAGGCCUUGGUGGCUUGGGUGGUGGUGCUUGGGAGCCCUCUAACUUACUCAUGCUUGAUAGUGUUCAUCCGAUGGAGUGAGUGACUGAUUCUAGUGCGGUUGCAUUGCGAGAUUGCAUCGAGUGGCACUAGGUGUUCGUGUUGUAAGCCAGUGGUGCUUGUUAUUCUUGGAGGUUGCCACCUCCUAGACGGCUUAGUGGCUUGUGGCUUUGUCGAAGCACGCAAGGGAUUAUGUGGUGCUCCGGAGAAGAGAUUGUGAGGGGUACGGUGCUCACCCUGUGGGGAUCGCGAAGAGCAAUUCUAGUAGAGCGAGACGUGAAGGGCAACAAGUGGUCCGACCAGGUCAAGUGCUAGAGCUUGUGGUAAGCACUCCAUGUGAGAGAGUGUGACUUGCUGGUCACCACUAGCAAGAGGACCAGUGGCAACCUUAGAGCUUGUCUCAACGGGGACGUAGCUUGGUGGCAACCAAGUGAACCUCGAGAGAAAAUCAUCGUGUCAACAUUUCUUCUUCCCAUUGGUUUGCAAGUUCCUAACACAAGCUUGUAUUUACAUUCAUAUACUCGUGCUUGUGUAGUUGCUCUUGUAAUUAGUUAGCUUGUGUAGCUUGCUAGUUACCUUCUCGCUUGUGUAGCUAGAAGUAGUUCACUUGUGUGGCUAAUUUGGUUUGUGUAACCUUGUUAGUCACAUUGCUUAGUUUGUAUAGCUAAGUAAUUUGCGCUCUCUAAUUUAGCAUUGGUUGUCUUGUUAUUGAGCAUUGCUAGUGAGCUUAGGAGCUUUGUACUUUUGCUUACUAGUUGCGCACAGGAGUUCCCCGGUUUACAAAGUACUAGUGGCAUAGGUUUGUGUGACCUUGCAACUAGAUUUGGUUAGGUGAGCUCUUGCUAAGGAAGCAUUUUGUUUACUUAUUUAGGUUCUUUUACAAGGUGCUAGACAACUUAGUUAGAGGGGUGUAGUCUUGGCUAGACUAUUAGUUUUAAUUCCGCAUUUAUUCCGGUUAGCCGGCGCAAUAAAUUUUAGAAAGGACUAUUCACCUCUUCUCUUGUCUGCCAUCUCGACCCUUCACACCGAUUAUGGUUUUUGGCUCUGUUGCAAUGCUCGGAUGAUGACAAAGAACGGAUUUUUGACGCUUGCAAGCUCCUAGAAUUGAGAACCAGGUAUUUCUUCGCAUCGCAUAGAUGGUCCUUCAUUUAUCGUCUUAAACUUUAGUUCUAAGCCUGUAAUAAGUUCUAAUUAUGGGUGUGCUAAUAAGUUUGGACUGAUGCUUUUUUUUCUUAGAAGAAGGUUGAAGCAGGAAAUUUUUCAUUAUCUAAAAAAGGUAAUUAUAGGGAACUACAAAGAAUUUAAAAAGCUAUUUUAAGCCAAAUACAAAAACAUGCUUGCUACUUCCCUAUUCGAUUAUAUAAUAAACUAAUUACACAGUUUGGUUGAAAAUCGCGAGACGAAUCUUUUAAGCCUAGUUAGUCUAUGAUUAGCCUUAAGUGUUACAGUAAUCCACAUGUGUUAAUGACAAAUUAAUUAUGCUUAAUAGAUUUGUCUUGCACAGACGAGCUAUGAAAUUUGUUUUUUUAUUAGUUUUUAAAAACUCUUUCCGAUAUCCUUCCGACACAUCCGAUGUGACACCCAAAAAAUUUCCAUCUCCAAUCUAAACAGGGCCUCAAUAAUCCUAGCCUGCAGCAUCAUCAUCUUUUAUUUUAUUUUCGUAACAGAUACACUAGUGCAUAUAUCUAGAAAACUGAAUCGGUUCUACCAAUUACAACAGUUUUUGUACAUUCCCCAUGAAAGUGUUUACCUGCUGCUCUGGUGCACACUGCCGGCCCCGCACCGGCACAUAAAUUGGCCUAAAGAUUUUGUCUAAGCUGAGAUGACCGAAUUUCAGUGAAAAUCACCUAUUUUGGGUGAGGCCUAAAAUAAUAUUAUACCGGUCAAAAAAAUUCAACUAAAUUCAUUAUUUUAGUCAAAUCUAGAGUAAAAUUCAUAUUUUUAAAAUUUACCAAUUGUACAUGGAAUUUCCACUCGAGUCCUCUUCCACACAAGCAAAAAAAAGGGUUCUGCCGUCAUGGAUUACGUGUGCUCAGAAAACUGUCGUCAUGCGUGAGAGAAGACUUUGCCAGUCCGUCGUCACGCAUGACUGCUCACACAAGAAAUAACAUCGUCAUUUCAUAUAGUAGAGCUAUUUGAACCUUCAUUUCAUGUAACUCAAACUUCACUGCUAGCCUACAGACAAGAGAGAAAGACAAGAAAACAUCGUCAUUUCAUGUAGUAGAGCUAUUUGAACUAUCAUGUAGCUCAAACUUCACUAGAUGCCGACACACAAGACAGGAAGCCAAGAAAACAUCGUCAUUUCAUGUAGUAGAGCUAUGUAAACCGUCAUUUCAUGUAACUCAAACUUCACUUGUAGCCUGCAGACAAGAGAGGAAGACAAGAAGACAUCGUCAUUUCAUGUAACUCAAACUUCACUGGUAGCCUGCAGACAAGAGAGGAAGACUUCAUCACUGCUAAAGGUGCAAUUUCACAAAAAGGUAGUAAACAAUGGUGAAGGGACAUGGCAUUGUGACAAAUGCAACAAGAGCUUACCAUAUUGCGAGUUUAGAUACUUUGCUGGCGUGCCAGAUCCAGGACCACAUUAGGUACCUAUGCUACUGCAUUCCAAGAGGCUGGUGUCGAGAUGGUUCGUGAGCCACUAGCAUGAAUGCACCACCUCAGGUCGGUCGCAACUGGGCAUGAAUGCAACUUAAAUACAUGUUGUUUCAAUAGCGAGAGUUGGUGAGCCACUCACAAGCUCACGUCAACACCAUAACUCCCUAUUCUAACCAUCAAAGAUUGUUUCUCAUCCAAAUUAUCAUCAUGAGCGGGCUAUAAACAAUUUAACUUAAGACUAGAACAUAAGAUUAGAUCAGAAUUACAAGUUGAAAUAAUAAUUAAAGUCAAAGGAACACUAAUUAACUAAUAAAUAAGGAAAAAAAUUUAUAGUUCGCCGUGAGCUAUUUAAAGGGCACACGGCGAAGACCGUCUUUGCCGUGUGCCCCAGACUAGCACACGGCAAAGAUCCAAGGUUUGUCGUGUGCUUCCAGUUGGCACACGGCAAAGAGUUGAUGGCAGCCAACGGUGGCCGACGGCGUCAGAAUUUUGCCGUCAGCCCCGUGCUAGCACACGACAAAGAGUGCAUUCACCGUGUGUUUUAUUUUCGCCGUGUGUUUUUCCUCGGCACACGGCAAAUGUAUUGACUUCACCGUGUGCUCUUCUGUUCAGCACACGGCGAAGGACGUAAACGCCGAGUGCUAAACGUUUGCCGUGUGCUGGGCUGGGUGGCACACGACAAAUCAGCUCUUUGCCGUGUGCUCGAUGUAUUGCACACGGCAAAGCUACGGGCACACGGCAACCUCCGGUUUUCCGGUAGUGCGCAUGACUGCUCACACAAGAAAUAACUUUGGCACCCUACUGCUGAUGUCCAUCCCGAGUAUAAAACUGUACGAGGAGGAGCACAUGCUGCAUAUACUAGCGCAGCAGACCAUCAGCAGCAAGCUAAUAAUUAGAGCGUUCCACUACAGAAACGAGCCAGGCAGAGUAGAGGAAAUGGCCGGCAGCAGCAGCGAGGAGAAAGCGGUGGCGGCGGUGCAGAACAAGAAGGUGGUGCUGAGGAGGCACGUCACCGGGUUCCCCACCGAAGACGACAUGGAGAUCACGGUGGACACUACCGAGAUUCGUGUGCCGGCGGGGCAGACCGCCGUGCUGCUCAAGAACCUCUACCUGUCCUGUGACCCAUGGAUGCGCGGCCGCAUGACCAAGCACGAAGACGGCGCCUCCGUGCCGGCCACCGACUUUGCGAUCGGAGAGGUAGACACGCAUCGAAAUUAGUCUCUUGUUAAUAAGCGUCACUGGAGGUGUAGAGAAUCACAGGUGAAGAAAAAUCUGUUUGUGCAUGAUUCCUCAAUCAGGCCAUGGUCAACUACGGUGUCGGCAAGGUGAUAGACUCGACGCACCCAGAGUUCACCGGCGGCGACCUCGUCUGGGGGAUGAGUGGAUGGGAAGAGUACACACUCAUCACCCAGCCGGAAUCCCUGCACAAGAUCAACCACGCCGACCUGCCGCUCUCCUACUACACCGGCGUUCUUGGUCAGUAACCUAAUAAUGGCGGAUGCAUUUCGUCUUGUUCCUCCAUUUUCCUUUCAAAAUCUUCCAGUUACUGACAGACGAUGCGCGAUUGAUCUGGAACGACCAGGCAUGCCGGGGCUGACGGCGUACGCAGGGUUCACCCAGGUCGGCAGGCCCAAAAAGGGCGACUUCGUGUUCGUCUCGGCGGCGUCAGGCGCCGUCGGGCAGCUCGUCGGUCAGCUGGCGAAGAUCGCCGGCUGCUACGUGGUCGGCAGCGCCGGCUCCGACGAGAAGGUGGGUCUGCUCAAGACCAAGUUCGGCUACGACGACGCGUUCAACUACAAGUCCGAGACCGACCUCGGCGCCGCGCUGAAGCGGCGCCUCCCCGACGGCGUCGACAUCUACUUCGACAACGUCGGCGGCGCGACGCUGGACGCCGCGCUGCUGCACAUGCGCGACGGCGGCAGGGUCGCCGUCUGCGGGAUGAUCUCGCAGUACAACCUGGAGGAGCGAGACGGCCUGCGCAACCUGUACUGCGUCAUCCCCAAGGCCAUCAGGGUGGAGGGGUUCAAUGUUGGCCGCUUCUUCCAUCUGUACGAGAGGUUCGAGGAGGAGAUGGCUGGGUACAUCAAGGACGGGAAGGUCGCCGUCGUUGAGGACGUCGUCGAGGGUAUUGAAAGCGCACCGGCAGCUCUGAUCGGGCUGUUCUCGGGCAAAAAUGUGGGGAAGCAGGUGGUUGCGAUUGCAAGGGCAUGAGUCCCGAAUUAGCGGUUUUGAUUAAGGACAGGCCCGACAAAUAUAAUAACAUCUUUAAGUGUGAUAAAUAUAUAUAAAUUGAAGUGUAAUCUCAACAAUACUUUUAAUUGUUUUAUACAUGUAGUUCGUAUUCAUGAUCAAAAAAUUAUAAUGCUACGAUGAAAAAUAGGUGAAAUGAUAGUUUGAUGUGCUGUAAAUUGAAAAAAAAAUCAAGGAUAUUAAAUUUUUCCUUCAGUAUUGGGGGUGGUCAUGGCCCCUCGUGGCCAACUCCUGAUCCUGCCACUGCAUGAGUUGAAGCAGGAUUGUUUGGUUGCUAGCCACAAUUUGCCACACUUCACCUUAGGCAUGUUUGACCAAGUUGGCAAGUGUUUGGUUGAUAACUAAGUUUAGACAUGAUUCUUUUGGGCUCCACAUGUCAUAGAGUUAAAAAGUGUGGCAAGAUUCCUUUAGGCAUGGCAAAGUGUGGCAACCAAUUUGCUAGCCACACUUUUUGUGGCUUGCCACACUUUUUGUGGCUUGCCACACUUGCCACACUUGCCAUAGUGACGAGACGUAGUUGUAUGACAUUAUAUUCGCUUCUAUUACUCAUGCUAUGAUGGAAUGUCUAUGUGACAAAAUGCGUAAUAAGGCCUCGUUUAGUUCACUCUGAAAACCAAAAAGUUUUCAAGAUUCUCCAUCACAUCGAAUCUUGUGGAACAUGCAUGAAACAUUAAAUAUAGACAAAAAUAAAAACUAAUUACACAGUUUAGCUGUAAAUCAGAAGACGAAUCUUUUGAUCCUAGUUAGUCCAUGAUUGGAUAAUAUUUGUCACAAACAAACGAAAGUGCUACAGUACCGAAAACUUUUCACUUUUCGGAACUAAACAAGGCCUAAAUUUAUUCUUCAACAUGGUAUCAAAAAUUUGAUGUCUCAAAAGCAAAACAAAGGUCUAUUUAAUCUUCUUCAUCCAAUUCUUUUGUGUAGACAGUUUUAAUGGUAAAUUUUUUUUCGAGAACAUGCGCUGCAUGCAUUUCAUUAAGCGAGGGAAACAGUUUUACAACAAAAGCCCAUGACAGUAAUCCAUAGAUUACCGUCACAAAAUACAGCCAGACCAAAGCAGGUUAAACAGGAAGAAACAAAGAAAAGGCUACUCAACUACUCGCCAGAGGCCAGCAACGCCCCGAGCGCCCCGAAACCAGCAGCCAUGCACCCAGAGUGCUGCUUCAUCAAGGAUAGCUUGCAGAAGAACAGCUGCUGCCGAGAUGAUCUGUCAAAGGUUCUCGCAUUGCGCUCCUUCCAGAGGUUCCAUCCGACAAUGAAGAAAAGAGAGUCAAAGCCUCGAUGGAUUUGCUUAGGAAGCCUUUUCCUUGAAUCGGUCCACCACGCCAUAAUGUCUUGUUCUUUGACUGAAAUUAUGUGCUGCAGCUGGAACCUUCUUAGGCAAGAGGACCAAACCUGGCGGCUGAAAACACAGCCCAAUACAAUAUGAUCUAAAGUCUCAGACGACUGAUCACAAAAGAUGCAGAGGUUGUCCUCUUGAAGCCCACGGCGCCACCUUCUAUCCGCUGUCCAACACCUCUUGUGCAAAGCCAGCCAGAAGAAAAACUUAACCUUAGGGGGUGCCGAAGUUUUCCAGAUGUGGCGAGCUCCCAGAGGUGUGGAAUACUCCAAGAACAUUGCGCCAUAUGCGGAUGCAGCAGAGUAUUGCUGGGAUGCAGCAAACCUCCAGGCGAAUGUGUCCGACGUCCCAGGGGAGAGGUGGACUUGUUCAAGUGAAUGACACAGGCCAAUGAAGUCAGUGAGCAAUCUCAAAGUGUGAUCGCCGGUUAUAUGAUGCACCCAGUUGUGAUUAUUCAGCGCCUCCGCAACGGUGAUGCCCCAUUUUCUCUUGGGCACUGCUUCAAAGAUAGCCUGGGUUUUAAUGGUAAAUGAAUGGUCUAUAUUUCUCAUCUAUCCAUUCUGCUGUUAAGGUAUUGAAGUCCUCUACGACUUUAUACAUUGUGGCAAAAUUAAAUAAAGUCAAUAAGAUGCCCUAUAACAACAAUGAACACGAACCGCAAAAGUUUGACAGGAUUUUAGAACGUGAAUGAAAUUAAUUUCUGCAAUAACUCCAUCUAACCAUCUUCUAAUAAGCUAAUUCAAUCCAUAAAACAUGGUCCAAAAAAGUAGAUUUAAAUUUUGCAUCUCUGAGCAACUCUAAGAGACUCUCUAUAUCAUUCCAAAAUGCUACGAAUACGGAUUUUGGUGAAAAAUUACCCUCAAAUAGUUUCUCUAAAUGGUUAUCCAAAUAUGACCAUCUCUUAUUCAAAAGUUUUCGCUAGCUAAAAGUAGAAGACAAAAAUAACUCUCUAGCGUACGCACGAGAUAUAGAAGAACCGUUGCAGAGUGAAAAGACAUAGAAAGUGAGUUUUUUGACUCUCCAUAUAAUGAUUUAAAUGAUAAGAUUUAGAAAGACUCUUGGAGAUGCUGUCACCUGGGCAAACCGCCACCAAAGGCCAGUGAUCUACUUCUUCCUUCCUUCUUUUUUUUUUACACCACGUGACAAUACUCGCCGCUACGUACUACUAUACCGUCACAUUGCUUCAAUCUAUACCAAACACGGUAGAGCCAUCAAGGAUAUCAAGGAAAAGCAAGAGAUUGUGGGCAAUGCAAAGCAAAGAUAGAUGACACAAAACUGUUUUUGUUUUCUCAGGGGAGAAGAACAAGCAUGAUAGCAUCGGCGGUGGCGACAAGCCUUAAUUCUCUUUCUUCUUCUAUUUUGCCUCUUUUGCUGUUUAUUUCUCCUUUGCAGUUUGCACAUAAAAAUAAAUAUGUGUGCUAGCUAGAUAGAGGUUUUGGAGAGACUAAGAUCAAAAUGUAACUCGAACUGGGCUCAAGCCACACACGCCGACCGAGCUAGCCUGGCGGGCGGCACUAUUCAAACCAAAAAGCGAGCCCGUGGGCCGUGUCCGUUGCGGCCUUGGACCGGACGCCGAGCGAUCCCCUGUGCCGCUGUCUUGGAACUCGAAUCGAAGCGAAUUUAGGCCUUUUCGCCCUGGCUGUCACGCUCUCUCGCGUAGUCGUGUCAGCUGGGUCCGGCCGGGAAAUAUCUCGGUGUUUAGUAAUGUGUCGCUGCUGGAUGGGGAUCUGUCGUGACUCGUGACCGUCACGCUAAUUCAAAGAGUAGUGCUAUCUCGAUCGCGAAUGGGGAACGUUUGUUCUAGUUUUACCCAAGAGCAAAAUGACCUCUCUAGCUCCUCAAUACUUCGCCUUUUUGAAGUUUAUGAAUAUACGGCAAUGAUUUUUGUAGAAAUUGUCUACGAUAUAAGGCCAAGAGGGGUAUCAAAACAUAUGUCAAAGUAGACACAUAGAUAUUUUUUUCAUUAAAAGGGUGUUUAGAACUGCUCCAACUCAUCAGAAAAUUAGAGUUUGUAAAACACAUCUUUAGAUGCUCUUACAACUCUACUCUUUUUUUUUGAACACAGUGCGCGUAGGUAAAACUGUUUAACUAAAGAACAUAGAGCAAAGCAGUCUCAAACACCUCCAAAGAUGACAAAAUUUAUUGCUAUUUUUAUUAGAUGAAGGAAUCGGUACUCACAACAUUAUAAAUAAUUUUUGGUGUUUAUAUAUUUAUAGAUAUAUUGCUUUUAAUUGCAUAUUUAGAUAAAGUGUAUAUAUAUACAUCUAGAUACAUAGUAAAAACUAUAUAUUUAAAAAAGUCAAAGUAUUUUAUAUUUAAAAUAGACAGAGCACAAACAAAGUACAAAAAUAGAAACCACUAAAAAAAGAAACAGCUACAUGAGGAAGACGAAGUCUGGCUAAGGGGACAGAAUAAGACCCAAGGACACAUAGGCAAUAGUGGGCAGUAGUAUUGAUGUUAUCAAUUUUUAGCAUGACUUUGGAACUAGAGAUCACUAUUAGAAUAAUGGAACUCUCCUCGUGUUUUUAAGUAGUAAUAAAAUACAACCAUUAUAAGAAUCUUAUUAGAAGGCAUUUGGUAAGGAAAAAUUUAUACUAAAUUUUGAAUGUCAACACACUAGGAGGACCUCUCACCUCACUAGGAGAAAUUUAAUAUUCUGGUUAUGGAUGUCCGAUAAAGAUAUAUUAAUUAAUGUUGUAGGGCAUGUCGUUUUUGUGUAAGAAAAGGUGUUUGCAGGUUGAGACUUAAGAACAAAAGCACUGUGCUCAAUUAGUUAUAGGGUUUCAAAAUUGAAUUUUGGCUCAAGAAAAAAAAUCAUGUUGAGACCAAACUAAUUUUUAGUACUCUCUCUAUCUCUCUCUCUCUCUCAAUAAAAAUAUUAUUCCCCAUUUUUAGUAUAUAGUAAUGUGUUUGUUUUUCAUGAAUGCUGAGAUCAAGCUAUAUAUAUAUGCCGUUCUUGUGAGUUCUGACAGAAUUAGUUGAGCAAAUGGUUACGGUUUCUUAAAAGUAUCGGACAGGAAUUUCUAAAAGUAAAUAAUCUGUUAUCAUAAAUAAGAUAUUGGAAGCAAAUAAAUAAACUAGCCGUAGUGUGAGAAGCGUUAGGUUCACAUUGAACAAUUGAUGUGGAUGUUUGUAUUUUUUUUUAAAAAAAAUUGAUUCUAGGAUUUAGCAGGGCUCUCUUUUUAGCGGUGUGCCCGUCGAUAACAAUAAACAUACGGUAACUUUUUCAAGUUCCAAAAAUACCAAUGAAUGAUCAUGGCCUACCAUGUUAUCUUUUAUCCUAUUUUUAUACUGUCUCCGUCCCUGAAAGAAUAGAUUUCUAGCAAGUUUCAGACAGAUUAGCAUAGCUGCCAAAUGACCAAGUUACCCUUAAUUAAUAUGAGUUUCACCAUUAAGAUGCACAGGAAUCACUGCUUUGGGCUACGAUCUGUUCACGUCAUUUACUCAUCCAGCCAACUGUCCACCGCAAAAAGGAGUGGGGACCAUAUAUCCAGCCAACGACGCCACGCUCACGCAGCAGAUCCUCUGUGCGUCUUUGAUGCCACGAUGAAUACGAGGCGAGUAGUGGGACCAUAUAUCCUAGAAAUUGAAUUAUUUGGGGAUAAAUUUUUAGGCCAGAAAUCUAUUCUUUCAGGAACGGAGGGAGUAACAAAUACAUUUGUUGUUUGUACAUAUGCCACCACCAUAAAUGAAAUUUGUUCUUCACAAAUCGACAGCCUUUGUUGUGUUUUUCCGAAAAAAUUGUAGUCCAAUCUGCAGCACUGGUACAAAGGCGGGCUUAGUGGGACCACACAGGAUCAAAUUGUUCGAUGUAGCCAUUAGUCGCAAUCAGUUAUGUUUGAACUUUGAAGUCAGCAAUUCCACCACACAGGCCCUCUUUGCAAAGAUGAGCAUGAUUCUCUAGGUAUAUGAUCCAAGGUCACACUCAAUUUAAUUAGGGCCUCUUUGGUUCUCAGGAAUUGAGAGGAAUUGAAAAGUUUUAAAAAAUAAAAUGGGAAGCACUCUCUAGAUAUUGAUCUCAAUUCAUAGGAUCCAAAAUUUUGGCAUGACUUACGUAUCUCGUGAUGCUGGUUAAAGAUAUUUUCUUAUGUUUUUGGCUCGUCGUUUUCGGGUCAGAAAAAUGUGUGUGGAAGUUUGAAAUUAAAGUUUGAAACUUAACAAGAAAAACUACAUGGAAUCUUUCAUGGAUUAAGCACGGUCAUAAAACCGCGUCGUCAUGCCUGAUGUCAUGACUCACAAGAGAAACGACUUGACACUUGCUGAUGCCUGAUGUCCGUCGAUAAAACUGUACGACAGUUCAUGCUGAAUCGGCAGUUGCAUACCCCAGACGAUAAGCAGACUAAGCGUCCUAGGACAACCAUCCCUUUGGCCUUUGGGAGAGAAAAAUGGCCAGCAGUGGCGAGGUGAAGGCGGCGGCGGCGGCGGUGCAGAACAAGAAGGUGGUGCUGAGGCGGCACGUGACCGGGUUCCCCACUGAAGACGACAUGGAGAUCACGGUGGGCACUGCCGGUCUGCGUGUGCCGGCGGGGCUCACCGCCGUGCUGAUCAAGAACCUCUACCUGUCCUGCGACCCAUGGAUGCGCGGCCGCAUGACCAAGCACGAGGACGGCGGCAUGCCGCCGGACUUCGUCAUCGGAGAGGUAGGCAUAAUCAAAAUCUGAAGCACUAUUGAUCUGUUUCAGAGAUGCAGUCUUUCAGACGACAAAUUUGCAUCAGAGAUCGAUGAGGUGAAGCAAUUUUCGUGAUGUUUUGAUCCAUCAGGCUUUGGUCAAUUACACUGUGGGCAAAGUGUUGGACUCGACGCACCCGGAGUUCAACGCCGGCGACCUCGUCUGGGGUAUGAGUGGAUGGGAGGACUACACCCUCGUCACCCAGCCUGAGUACCUGUACAAGAUCAACCACUCCGAUCUGCCGCUCUCCUACUACACCGGCGUUCUUGGUCAGCGAUCUCUACAAAUUCAUCUGCGUUUUGCUUUAAAAUUCUGCCGGAUUGCCCAAUGAUCCAAUGUUUCCUGCCGUCGCCAUCCAGGCAUGCCAGGUCUCACUGCAUACGCCGGCUUUUUCGAGGUCGGCAAGCCCAAGAAAGGCGAUUUCGUGUUCGUCUCGGCGGCGUCCGGCGCCGUCGGGCAGGUCGUCGGGCAGCUGGCCAAGAUCGCCGGCUGCUACGUGGUCGGCAGCGCCGGCUCCGAUGAGAAGGUCAGCCUGCUAAAAACCAAGUUUGGCUACGACGACGCCUUCAACUACAAGUCCGAGACCGACAUCGGCGCGGCGCUGAAGCGGUGCCUCCCCGACGGCAUCGACAUCUACUUCGACAGUGUCGGCGGCGCGACGCUCGACGCCGCGCUGCUGCAGAUGCGCCAUGGCGGCAGGGUCGCCGUCUGCGGGAUGAUCUCGCAGUACAACCUGGAGGAGCCCGACGGCCUGCGCAACCUGUUCUGCAUCAUCCCCAAGGCCAUCAGGGUGGAGGGGUUCAACGUCGGUGGCUGGUUCCAUGUGUACGAGAGGUUCGAGGAGGAGAUGGCCCGGUACAUCAAGGAGGGGAAGGUCACCG